AGAGACCAAGAUUGAUUCACGAUGAUUGAGGAGAUGUACUUGAACUGAGGAUGAUACAUAAAUGGUUUGGCAAUUUUAAAGUCUUCAUCUGAUUAAGGAUUGAAUAUUUUUAUAUAUUGUAUAAAAAUUUUAAAGUAUAUUUGUUUUAACGCUUCCGCAUGCUUAAGUUGUAUUUAAGGAUGAUCCUUCUGGACUUCAGGGGGGUCGUUUCACACUUUGCUUAUCAGCAUGAGUACUAAUUUCCAUGUAAUAUAAGAAGGAAAAAUAUAAAAACAUUACAUUACCAAACUAAGCAAAGAUAAGCUAGUUCCAUUGGAUUUGUACACACAUUACAAGAAACAUGCAUAUUAUUACUCAAAAUUCAGACAGUUUUAGCAUUGAAGCAUAAAUUAGGAAAAUAUUAAAGACAGCAAUAGAUAUAGACAUACGGCAAGAUGUAUCUCCAGGAGAAACAACUAACGACCUUGACUAAAACCUAAAAAUGUAGAUACUGAAUCCAACACGAAGUAGCCAGAUUAACUACAAGCAAAUUAAAACAAGUACACACUUAAGGACAUGGGUGGAAAAUUCCACCACCAGUCGCCCCGCCGGCUCCACCGCCAGCAGCACCACCGGCAACACCACCACCAAGACCACCCCCAGCACCACCUAAACCGCCUGCGCCGCCUAGACCACCAAGACCACCAAGGCCUCCGACGCCACCACCAAUUCCACCAUAUUUGCCAAUCCCUCCAAGGCCACCAAUCAACGGCAGUCCACCAAUACCGCCGGCAAAGCCACCCACGCCAGCAAACCCUCCAACGCCACCAUAGAUAAAAUUCUUUUUAUCAUCAAGGCCAGCACCACGAGGUGACUCAGCCUUUGGUGCAUCAGCAGCAUGCACGAUUGUUUCUUGCCAAGGGCUCUUUUGCUCAUUAAGAGCUCCAUUGCUUGGUAUCUUACGUGCCUCAGCUGCAUGCAGAACAACUAAAACAAGAACAGAAAUGACUGACAAAGUUGCCAUUUCUCUCACUCACUUAUAAAGCACAAUACAAUUGAGCUAAGUGAUCAUGCAUACGGUGGUUGUGUCUUUAUAUAGAGGGUAAUAACUUGUGAGGUUGUUGAUAGUUGUGAGUAAUAAAAGAGCUAUAGUAAAUGAGAGAGGAGACUUUACCAUCAAGAAUCUCGAGAAGAGAAAUUCUUCAAUUAUGGUUCAGACUGUUAGGUGAAUUAAAAGAAGAAAAAAAUUUAAGGCCGUCGUGUUUUGUACUCAUUCAAGUUAAUUGCCAGAUUUGUUUGCUUGAUGUGUUAAGCCACCAAAUGAAGCCAUGCGCGGCUUAUUAAAUUAAAAGCAGCCAGCUGCUUGCUUCAUUAAGAUCACCUGCAUGCUUCACUUAUAUGCUUCUGCUACUUGCUUGAAUCGGUGUAUAUAUAUGUGUCGAAAUUGAGAGGUGCUUGCCAAGUUAAUGCAUUUGCAACCAAGAGAGAAGCGAAGAAAUAGAAGUUGAAAAAGAGAAACGAAGAGAAAAAGAGAAAUAAAUGGAGAGAGAGAGAGAGAGAGAGAGGGGAGAAUGAGGAAAAAGAAAAAGAAAUAAGAAAGUUACGGGAAUUAGAGUUGGGUAGCUAGAAUUAUAUCAUGUGGACUAAUGAGUAACUGAUGUAUGAAUUUAAUCAAUUAUCUUACAGUUUUAAUGACACAUCUAAGUUUUAUAUCAAUUUUGAUAGUUAAAUUUUUAACCCUGUGUUUUGGAGAAAUUCAGGUUUCUAGAAAUCAACAGGAGCCCUAACAAAUUAGUAAUUGAGCCAGAAUUUUUGAGUGGAUUCCUAUUGUAUUAUGUGAAGCAUUUAGAUUUGAUAGUAUAAUUUAGAGUCAUGUUAUGAUUAUAUUGUUAACAUGAAUAUGUUAAUAAUAUUGAUUUUGAUGAUGCGAACCUAGCUGACUUUCUUGGUAUCUCUAGUGAGGGUCAUGAUAUUUACACCUCUAGGAAAGCCCUUUUCUUUGACACUUUUUGUCAAACUGAUGGAGUCCGUAAGAUUUGUCGUCGUCAAGACUUGUCUGAUGAGAUCUGUCUGCUACCUUUUCGGUCUCAACUUUUACCUCUCCAGGUUCGCAUCCUUCACACGAUUUUACAGCACAUAGUGACACCUAGGAAGGGUCACUCGGAUGAGGUUACGAGGUUGGACGUUGGUCUAUUAGCUAGCCUCCUUUCAGACCGUCCCAUUAACCUCGGCUAUGUUAUUGUGCGGCACAUGCUGAGUACUCCCGCGAUUAACCACCGCUUGCUUCCAUAUGGCAGUAUCAUUACUAAGAUACUACGACGCUUUGAAAUGCCUCUUCUUGAUACCGGUCAUAUGGAGACUAGACGGAUUGGUCCCGAGGCCAUGACUAGUAUUGGUUUUUCUAGGAAGAAUGGAGAGUGGAUAAAGACAAGCAACUCCAAAAAUCGGGAUACCUUGAUUGCUCCAGAGGACGAUCGGAUGCUCAACGAUGUCUAUCCUCCCGAUAAGCUUCCCGAUUUUAGAUUAGGAGCUCAUUCUCAUCCUCCGCGUCGCCGUUUUGUCCCUCGUCCUCCAGCUGACUCUGACUCUGAGGAGCGUGCGAUGGAUGCUGACAUUCCCUCCUCUUCCGAGCCGCCUCCUGCUCCUGAGCCUUCUGCUGUUCCUGAGCAGCCAUCUGCCUCUGUGCCACCUCCAGCUCCAGUUCAGCCCCCUACUUCAGACGUUAUGCAGCAGUUGAUUGCUGAUGUUCACCAGAUUUCGAAGCGCCAGCAGCUGAUUCUUGAUCGGUUGGACACUGUUUCCCGUGACCACCACCAGCUACGUUCUGACUUUCAGACCUUCCAGCAGCAGAGCAUUGAUCAGCAGCUUAAGCUUAUCGCUGGACAGCGCACUCUUCUCAGCUAUUUCGGUUAUGAUCCAGGGAGCACAUCUUCUCCACCUCCAUAAUUUCUGAGUUCUAUUUUCGCACAUACAUUUCAUAUUUUGGUUGUUUGCGUGUUUCCAUUUAUAUUUUUAUAUACAUUGUUACCUCUAUAUGCUCUUUCUAGAUUUUGAUGACAUAUUUUUGUGAUGUUCUUGAUGUUGGAUGACUUGGUAAUUGGUUGAUGAAAUUGUUGGUUUAUUGGAUAUUGAAGUGUUGGUUUGUUUGUUCAUGGCGUUGUUGGUUUGUUGAAAGAUGGAGUUGUUGUUAAUAUAUUUUGGAAGUGUUUUAAUCUCAUUUUGUAUUAGUGGUUUUGCUCAUUUUUAAAGGGAAACUCUGUCAAAAUUUUCGCUCGCCAAAACCGGGUAACUUCUUUAACGGAUUUGCGUUUUUCCUUUCUCUCUUUUCUUUUUGAUGAUGAAGGAGGAGAUAAUUAUGGGGAGAUUUAGAAUGAAUUUCAAAAUGUUUUCUUGAGCAAAAAUCUUUUUAUUGGACAUUUCUUAAUUUGGUCAUACAUUUAGGGGGAGCACAUAUUAAGGGGGAGCUAAAUAUUGAAUGAAGUUUAUCAUCAUCAAAAAGGAGGAGAUUGUUAACAUGAAUAUGUUAAUAAUAUUGAUUUUGAUGAUAACAAACUUUAAAUGGUUUUUGAUAAAAAUGUUGGAGCUAUUCCUUAAUAAACGAAAGCCUUAAUAAUCAUUCCAUUCAUAUUCAUAAAAGAUGGACUUUCAAAUUAGAAAAAGAUUCUUUGUAAAAUCUGGUUUAAAAUGUGAUUCUAGAAAUAAAAGGUGAACCGUUUUCUUUUAAACGGUGAACCGUUUUCUUUUAAACGGUUAACCGAUUAAUACCAAAGAGCAACAUAUUACCUAAGCUCUAACCGUUUAUGAAAAACGGAAAACACAAAAGAUGGGAAGGCUACUGGAAUUUAACGGCGAACCUUUUAUUUAAACGGUUAACCGAUAAAAUCCAGAAUGAAAGAUUGUACCUGGAAACAAACGACAAAAGCUUAAUUGAAACGGGUAAGACUAACUUGUUUUGCAAGUUACUGGAAACAAACGGCGAACCGUUAAUUACAAACGGCUAACCGAUAAAUUCUAGAAAGGUUAUUUCGUAUAACUCUUUAACCGUUUAGUAUGAACUAACAACUGAAGCUUAUCUUGCAGGUCUCUGGAAUUUAACAGCUAACAGGUAAUCCUAAACGGCAAACCGUUUAUUUGAAAUUUGGCCCAACGGUAACUUUUGACCAGCCUAAACGGUUAACCGUUAAUGGUUAAUGGCAAACCAUUUGCGGGCCGACAGUUUGUAACGGCUAGUUUUUCAGCUCCAAAUAUAAAUAAGCUCAUUCAAAUUCAAAGAAGAUUGAUCACAACACGACUAUUGAGCUUAUAUUCGAGAAUACAAUCUUCAUAGAGCUUUAAACACAUUCUUGCUUCAUCUAUUCACACAUUGGGCAUUGAUUUGUAAUCUUAAAUAUUGUGUGAGAGAAAAACAAUUUGUAAUCUUUUACUUUGAGUGAUUGUAAGUGUUGGGAUACACUUGGGUUAAGAGAUUGGGGAUAAUCUCUUGUUGUAAAGGUUCAUUGACACCUUGGAAGUCAAGUGUAAGCAUUUGAAGCCUUGGAGGCUUGCUUAGUGAAAUCCUCAAGCCCGGAAAGCUUGGAGGCGUGUACGUAGGCGAGGUUGGCCGAACCACGUAAAAAUCUUCGUGUUUAAAUCUCUCUUCCCUUAUCUUUUUAUAUUGUGAUUGAUUUAAUUGUUAUUGCUUUAAUUCGUUUUAGAUUUGCGUGAUAUUUUGUUUUAGAAUUGAAUAAUUUUUAGAAUCCCAAUUCACCCCCCCCCUCUUGGGUUGCAUAACUAGAAUUUCAUAUAUGUAUGCACAUUAUCUGAUUGAUUGACCAUGAGAUCUGAUUGCCAGUCACCAUAUGUGUAUUCUUUUCAUUAGAUGCUCAGUGCACACAUAUUAUCAGUUAGAUUGCUCUGCCCAUAUGAUUACAUUAAUUCUAUCGGGUAUGAGAGGUUUUUCCCCACUAUACUUGUGCAAUGAUGAUCUUGGCAAGUAGACAAUUAUUUUAGGUACUAAUUAGUGCAGUUUGUCAUGUAUGCUUUGUAUGAUCAACAUAAAGUUAUGUCAUAUGACGAGGUAUAAGCACUACCUUUAUAUAUAUAUAUAUUCGCUCAUUGAGCUAUGAGCUCAAUAUUUUUCUAUUUAUCUCAUUUCUCUUAAGGUUCUGCAGGAUUUCGUGAAGUUCAGUUUUGAUCAAUUAAGGUCAGGCUACAAUACGCAUUACUGCAUGACUUGUAUAUAUUUGAGAUAUAUGUAUGUAUAGUGACAUGUAAAACAUGAAUGUUUUGAACAUGUUUUUGAAUGAAUCAUGAAGCCUAUUUAUAUGUUUAUAGUCGAGUCCAAAGGCCAGUAUUAUAUGUGUGUAUUUAUCAGUUAAUUUAUGUUACGAGCUUUAGAUAUAAGCAUGAAACAGGUAAUAUAGUAACUAUAUAUAGCACGAUACGUCUCGAAUUUGACAAAAAGGUGGGGACAGUCCUAUCAGGUAAGGAUGGCAAAAUUAUUCACAAGGCCACGCGUUGUGGGUAAUUUUGUAGGUUGCAGGCAGAUUUUGUAUUUCAAACUUAAACUCGCUGCGAAUUGCGGGUAAGUUUGGUAUUGAGAAAAAAAUCUGCCGAAUACUCAUGCGGGUAUCCGCCAACCUGCAUUCUUUAUUUUAUUAUUUACAUUUUUAAUUUUUAAUCACAAAAUUAUAUUAAAAAUUAAUCAUAAAUAUAUGUAAAUUGGAGUUCUUAGUUCCUAAACCUAACCUAUAUCACUACAGCACAUAUAAUACUAUAAUUUUCAGUUUAAUAAUACUGAUAUUUUAUUUUAAUUUGAUUGAUUUUAUUUGUUUUCCUUUAAUGGCUCGAACCUAAUGAUUGCUUACUAAAGUUAAGUUCAUAUUUGUUUAAUUUAUUGUUAACAGUAGUUGUACAAAAUUUACUCGUUAAUAUUGUUGACAAUACUUAUAUAUUGAUUAAAAGAAUGAGUAAGAUAUUGAUAUUAGUGAUGAUGAUUUGCAUACAACAGAAAUAUUUUAUAUUAGAUUAAUAUAUUUUGUGUAUUUCGUUUUAAUCUUGAAAUUUUAAUUUCUUAUUUACAUUGACAAAAUUUAAAAUUAAGUUAUAUGCAGAUUUUUUAUGCUAUUAUUAUAAAUUUAUAGUUUGGAUUAUAUAAUUUAAGUUUUUAUGCAUUAUUAAAAGUAUUUUUUAAUAUUUGUGAUUUUAAAUGCGAAAACGUGCAAAAAAUCCAUCGUGGGCUGUGAGUAGGUUUGGUAAUUAUUAAAACCUGCGGUUGACAAGUUUUAAAAAAAAUAUAGAAAUCCACUUCAGAUUGUGGGCGGAUUAGUAAUUUAAAUUUUUGUGGUUACGGGUUUGGUAAUGGCAAAUCCACAGCGGGUAGUAUCUAUUGCCGUCCCUACUAGUUUCAGGUUUUAACUCUUGUGCAUGUGUAUUCAUUGAACCAACCAAUACUCCUUUCUUUUUAUUUUGGUUCAAUCAUGGGAUCAGUUAUCCAUUAAUAGGAUAAGGAUCAAGAUAUCCUUUCUUGAUCUUAUCUUUUUCUCUUGAUCCUUAUCUUUUUCUGAACAAAUUUUAUUAACGUGAUUGGUGGUUAAUAAAUUAAAAUGAAAAGAUAGUUAAAUCAUAAUCAUAAAUUAUCAUCGAAAUACAUGUGGCACAAGAUCUUUAGAAGAUUAGAAAUGCUCAAAUUAGGAGAGGAUCCUACUUCAAUAGGAUAAACUUCCUUUUAAUAAACAGUACAUUCGUGUUAAUUAAUGUUGUAUUUAAUUAUAUGGCUACAUAUUAGUGAUAUUAUUUCCCUCCUGUUGUUUUAAUGUAAAUUUAUAAAUAUAUUAAUUUACUCUCUUUAAUUUUAUUUCUUUAAGUUAAUAAUUAUAUGUGAUACUAAUUGAUUUAAUUAGUAAAGUUUUGUGAAGGAGUGUAAGAUUCAUGGCUACUAAUUAGUUUAAAUAAUAAUGGGUCAUUUGAAUUGGGAAUUUAUGUCUAAAAAAAAAAACAAAAGAAAAGCACUAGGCUGAGAGUAUAAUCCAAUAUACCGGAGAGCUGCCACUAGAUUCGGACUACUUGGUCUAGUAUGUGGCAAAUAAUCAACCUGAAACAAGGAAGUGACAAGUGGUUGAUCAGUUGCUUCAUUUUCCACCAUUAUAUAUUUAGUUGAUUAUACUUCCAACUCUUAAUAAGAAAAUCCAUUUGGCUGAACAAAGGAACAAUUUAAAUCUAAGAAAAUGAUUACUUUGAGACACACGGCUUCCAGAUUCCUUUGGGCCAGAAAUGCUUGGAGCCAAAGGGCAUUUGUGACUGCUACCCCCAUACUUUCACAAGUAAGUAUACACUUAAUUGCAUUGAUGCUUUAAAAUUAGGGACAUCUUAGAUGCUUUGAAGCAAUAUGUAUUACAUAUGUAUGGAUACUUUCACAAGCAACAUGUAUUUUCUUAGGAUUAGAAUUAUCUCAUGAUAUGAUCUUCUCCUAAGCAAAAAUAUAUGUGGGUGAUUAGUAAUUAAUAAAUAAAGAAACCGAAGAAGUCAAAUCAUAUCCAUACACUAUCAUUUAAAGACAUAUAACAUAAAAUUUUUAAAAGUUUAUGAGAGCUCAUAUCAUAAGAGGAUUUUUAUCCAUUUUCUUAUAUGGUAGUUUUAUAACGAAGCGUUUGGUGACUUAAAUUUGAUGCAAAUGGCAGUCCAAAAAGGACAAAGAGACCAUAGAGGCAUGUGAAAAUGUGAAAGAAGCCGCAAAUGCUGUUAAAGAAGGGGCCAACGCUGUUAAAAAAACUAGUGAAUACGUGAAAGCCACGGCUGCUUCAACUGCUGAAAAUGUAAGAACCUUGCUUCAUGUAUAACGUAUUGUCUUAGAGCCUGAGCAUUGAGUAAAGUUAUCUUUCAAAUUUAUCAUUUUCUGGCAAUUAAACUGAUCUAUGAGGAGUACUUUUCAGGUGAACAAAAUGACAAAAGAAGUAGGUGACAAAGCAAAGGACCUAGUAGUAGAUGCAGCCAAGACAACAACCGAUGCCAUCAAAGACAAAGUCAUGAAGCAUUAAAUUGGUCCAUGUUCAUCGUGAAUUCAAGAAUUACAUCUCACUAUUCAUUUCUGUAAUCAGCUUGAUUUUAUUCUGUAAGCAGUUAUAUCUUUUUCAAUUGGAAAAAUGACACUUUGCUCACUACUAUUUUUUUUUAAUAGAAUUUCAAUUUCCUUAUAAAGCACUGCUAUUUCCGAAAAAAAAAAGAAAAGGGACAAAAACGAUGUCGACCGGAGCCGAAUCUAUUCUCUUAAUUUGCAACAAUGUUUGAUGUGCGUGCAUAUUGUCUUGUCAGCUUUUUAUUUAUUUAUUUUUUUUAUCAUUUUACUUUAUUUAUACAAUGCACACAUAGAUCCCUAUUCCCUUAAAUUAGGGAUGAUAAUUUUACCAAUAGAUACAAAUAUUGUGUACUGUCUUAGAGCUUAAGUUUUGAGUAUACGAUUUUUUUAAGGGUUGAUUUGGGUUUACUGUUAGGGUGUUCGAAUGUGAUUUUGAAAAAUAAAUAAAAAUUAAUUUUGAUGAUUGGUAAAAAGAUUUUGAAAAUUAAUUUUGACGAAAUCAUCUCAUUUGAUUUUGAAAUAUAGGGAAGCAUCAUUAGUUUUUUUAAAUCUAAUUUUUUAUAAUUAAUAUUAUCCUUUACUACAUAAAUUCGAUAUUAUUUUUAUUUAAUUAGGAAAUAAAAUUAGUGAUUUUAACAAGAAUCAAUUUUUUUUUAACAUCAAUCACUUUGACAUAACACAAUAAAAAAAUUAAAAAGCACAAAUAUCGUUUUCUAAGUUAGCAGUUACUUCAUACAAUAAAUAAAUAUUGUACAUACACGUUUAUGUAUGUAUUAACUCUAAGAUUAUAAGAAUUUUAGCUAUUUGCAUUUUUAUAGUAAUUUAACAAUAAGAUUUAGGGUUUGUUUGGAAUUACUUUUAGGAGGCCUAAAAGUGAUUUUAAAAAUCUAAAAGUUAGUUUUAGUGUUUGGUAAAAAAAAAAAUCAAAACCACUUUUGUCAAAAUCAGCCCCUCCAACAGCUGAUUUUGAAAAGCAAUGAAGGAGUAGCUUUUAAAUUUUGAUUUUGAGAAUCAAUUUUAUCAUUUAAUACAAUUCCAUAAAUAUCCUUAAAAUUAUUACCUAAACCCAAAAUUAUUCUUACUGAAAUUGGAAACAAAAUAAAUAUUUUAAUAAUUUGUAUUAUAAUUCAUCAAUAUAAAUUUAUUACUAUCAAUUUGUUGGUCGAAUUAUUAUUAAAUUUGUUUCACUAUAUUAUUAAUUUAAUUAUCAAUUGUAAAAAAUAAAAAAGUAAAAUCAAUAAAUUAUAAAUUUUAUUUUUAGUAAAAAUUAUUAUAAUACACAAUUAAAAAUAUUAUAUGUAUAUGUUUUUAUAUGUAUAAAUAAAUUUUAUCUUAUAUUAUGUAUCUUUUAGUCAUUUAUUUUCUUUUAGCAGUUUAACAGUAAAAUUUACCCAAACGUCCAUAAUUACUUUCAAAAUUCACAGCACUUCUUAAAACAAAAUUUACCAAACACUUAACUGAUUUUCUUCACAACUGAUUAUUUCUACAGCACAACUAACAGAAAUUAUUUUAAAAGUUACAGCAUUCCCAAACUGGCCCUUAGAGUCCAUUCAGGAUUGCUUUUGGGAGGCUUAAAAAUAAUUUUGAAAAGUUAAAAGCUAAUUUUGGUGUUUGCUAAAUAUUUUUAAAAAUUACUUUUGGUAAAAUCACCCCAUCCUACAGCAAAUUUUGAAAAGUAGAGAAGAAAUAGCUUUUCAAAAUCUACUUUUAAGAAUCAUUUUUAUACUUAGUACAAUUCCGUAUAAAUCCUCAUAUUUAUUAUUAAAAUCCAAAAUUCUCCCUAGUAAUUAGGAAAUAAAAUCACUAACUUUAAAGGGAUUAUUUUUAUUACCAAUUAUAUGGAGAUAAAAAAAUAAUAAAAUAAUAAAAUAAUAUUAUAAAAUAUUUAUUUUAGAUAUCAACUAUUAUAUAUAUACAAAAAAAGUAUUUUAUAUACAUAUUUAUAAAUACGUAAAUAAAUUUUAUUUAAUAUUAUGUUUAAUUCAAUCAUUUACAUUCUUACGUCAGUUUAAUAGUAAGAUUUACUAAACAUAUACAACUACUUUUAAAACUCAAAGCACUUUUGAAAAUAAGUUCUGCAAAACAUUUAACUUAUUUUCUUCACAGCUAAUUAUUUUUAUAGCACAACUACUAAUAAUUAUUUUUAAAGAUAUAGUAUUAUUAAACCGACUCUUUCCAAACAUAUAUGGCUACCUUUAAAACUCACAUCAUUUUUAAAAAUAAAAUUUACUAAACACUUAACUGAUUAUCUUCAUAUUUAAUUAUUUGUGUAGUAUAAGUAACAACAAUUAUUUUAGAAACAACAAUAUUAUCAAACUAGCUCUGAGUUACAAUUCAAGCUUUCAAUCUCAAAUUAUUUUAGAAACAAUAGUAUUAUCAAACUAGCUCUGAGUUACAAUUCAAACUUUCAAUCUCAAAUGAUACAUCAAAUAUUUUUUUAGAACAAUUCUAAUUUAUUCUUAAUUUGGUAGCAAUUAAUUAAACAUUAAAACUUGAUCCUAAAGUUGUAUACUAUAAUUUUCUUCACUUUAUAGGUUGUUGAGGUGAACAAAUUAAACGACUUCAGAAGAAGUGGGUGAUAAAGCAAUGGAACUGGUCAUAGAUGCAGCCAAUUGAUAACCACAGAUGUCAGAGAAGACAAUUAUGACGCAUAAAAUAUGCCCGUGUUCAUCAUCAAGUCAAUAAUUAAUCAGAACAACUCGAUAUUUUAUUUCUGUAAUUAGUAUAUCCUAAAGUCCACUUAUCAUUUCUGUCCUCAUUUUUAUAACUACAAUCGGUUUAAUUAUUAGCUCUAGUUAGUUUUAUUUUAAAUUAUCUCUAUUUGACAUUAUUAUCCUAAUAUUCAAGAAUAUAUGUGAGUUUUAACAUAUAAGACCCUUCUAAUUUUUUGACAAAUAAAUUAUAUUAUAUUAACAAUUAGGUUAUUGAGAAGGAGUUAAAAAAUUGAUUUGUGGUUUAUCCAUCCCUCUACCUUUUUUAAAAUUAAAAAAAAAAAAAAGAUUAACGACAAUGUUAUAAUGGUAAAAGAAUAUGUAUUUCUGACUUUCAGUUGCAUUUUUAUGGGAGGAAUGUAAUAGGCAACUAAAAAAAUUGGGGAUUAAGUGGAAAAAAUGAGAAAACAAGGAGGACCUAAGUGUCAUUCACCUUUUUUUAAUAUCUAUUUAUUUCCGUUAUAAAGCCAAUUGUCUUGAUUAAGGCGUUAAUUAAUUGAUUGCUUUUCAUGACUUUUCAAUAUGGUAACCGAUCGUUGAUGAGGAUUCGUCAUUUCUAAAUUAAAUAAAAGCCAAUGAAUUUGGCUAUAUAUUUAAAAAUGGUCAGAGGGAAAUUGCAAAACAUAUGAAGGCGUGACUGGUUGCUCUUUAAUAUGGUAACAGAUCGUUGAUGAGGAUUUGUCCUUUCAAACAAAAAAUAAUAAAAACAUGAAUGAAUUUGGCUAUGAAUUUAAAGUGGUCAAAAGGGGAGUUGCAAGCGACAUUAUUUUAGACGCAAUUCCAAUUACGAAGAAACAAAAAGAAUGGUUUCUUUCAGCCAAAAAAUGCUAUUGCUUAGUCUUAUUAUUUCAUCGAUUUGUAUGAUGAGCAACGCCGUUCGUAGAAGGCAUGUUAACAUCACAAAUAAAAUAGGAAAGAAUGUUUUAGUACGUUGCCGGUCCAAGAAUGAUGAUCAGACCUACUCAGUUUCAUUCAAAAAUAACAUUUUUCGAACUACACUAUUCUUCUGCAGAUUUACAUGGGAUGACAAGCUGCAUUGCUUCAACAUCUAUGAUGCCCAUAGGGAUGCCUGCACUAAUUGUAACUGGAGUUUAUUUACAGAUGGCCCUGUUUGGCCGAGCCUCCAAAGAACAAGACUACGUGUUUUAUCUACCAUUAGUAUCUAUCUUUAUUCUUUUGUCUUACCGGUAUAGCUCUAUUGGCUGUGAAUGUGGUUUGCAUCUGUAGUCAUCUAUGUUCGAGUAACAAAUGUUCUUAAUAUUAAAAGAACUAUAUGUAUUUUUGAAAAUUAUAUAUGUGGUAAAUUUUUUUAUCAACCAAUAAAACUCGGCUCCGUCUAAAAUGCACCUGUCACACCAUGCCCCACUUUUUUGUCUUUUUCAGAAGCAACCAUCGGAUGAGAUCAGAAUAAAUGUUAAGAUGCGAAAGAUGACAUAUGGUUAAACAGGUCAAGCAGGUAAUGAAAAGGUAACUAUUUGUGUAACAAAUCUCAAGUUAGAUUAGGCUCUUAGGAAUCGACUCAAUAGUCAUCAGCAGUAAUACUUACUUAAAUUAGAUGGCAUAUUAUUAAAGGAAAUAAAAUCGUUUCACUCUGUUUGCCUUCAUAACAAACCGAAACUCAAACCAAAUUUUCUUUGAUCCAUUAACCAUAAUAAUGUGAGGUGGAAAAAUAUUGUAUUCUUUUUCUUUAAUCAAAUGAUUUUUGAGAAAUAAAAAACUUGAUAUUAGUAGCAAUUUGUAUUUCAGAUUAGACUAAAGAUGUUGCAGUAAUGUUGUUGUCAAUAACAAGGAGAAAAUACUUUCAUAUUGAUAACAAUGACUAAAGUUAGAAAACAAGUAAUGAGAAUUUCGCUAAUGUAAUGACACAUGGAUAGAAAUAAGAAUUCAUUUUAAAAAAACUGGCUUGUAAGAAGUAGAAGUCUAAGUCCUUGUAAAUCCACCGAUGUCUACAGGGUAUAAGGAGCUCAAAUACUUAUAAGCCCACCAAUGUAGACGGCAGUUCAUAUUCUGGCUAGGUGACAUACCAAGAUCACGAGGCCAGGACCAGCAAUAGUGAGGGUCGUCCCCAAAGAAAGAACCUGCCCUGAUACUAACCACAUGUCAAUUAAGUUGUUGCAGUUAAUGACGAAACUGUUUACAAAUAAACAUUCUCUCAGGUUUCCUCUAUCCAAAAACACCAUUCAUUCUUGAUGUUGGAUAGAAAAAAAAAUCAUGAGAAAAAAAAUUUUCUUGUGCUGGAUUUUUCUCCAGGCAAAAUUCCCAUUCUUGCUUCCAAAUCUGCCUAUCGCAAUACAAUGCUGGCCACAUUCUCAUAAUUAAAUUCGACGAUCAAUGUUCAUAACCCAUGUAUUUUCAAAUUUGUAUUUACAUUAACGGCCUAUCAUUUAGAAACUCAAUAAUCUCCCACGUUUAGUUUGGUAUACCACUACCAGUUGCAUAAUUUUUUUUUUUUUUUGAAAAGAAAGUAUGCCUUUCGAUUGAUUAGCUUAAGAACAAGUACAUAAUCUCCGGUGGAAUUUCAUCCAACCAAAUUACAGUUUCCUUCUUUUGCAAAGCUAACUUUGCUAAUGAAUGAGCUGCAUAGUUACAAUCUCUAGGGGAAUGUUGAGCUUUGAAAUUCUGGAAAUUCUGCAGAUUUUCCUGAAUGUCAGAGAUCAACCAUCCAAUUUCAGUUAAGCUACUGGACUUCUUGUUGAUUAAGUCAAUAACUUCUAAUGAAUCUGAUUCAAAAAUUCCAAAAGUAAUAUGAGCUUUUUCAGCCACUUGUAGGCCCCAUUCCAUAGCUGUUGCCUCCGCCAUUGCCACACUACCAGGAAGCCUCAGACUUUUAAUUGCAGCUGCUCUGCAGUUUCCAUCUGAGUCUCUCACCACAACCCCCAACCCUGCCAUUUGAUUCUCAACAUCCACAGCCGCAUCAACAUUAACUUUUUGCCAUCCAUUUGGAGGAGGACUCCAUUGCUUUUGCCUCUCAGCAUUCCCCUUUGUCUUAUAAACCAUCUCCGGUUGUCUAAUCUUUUUAAAAGACUCCACUAUCGCCUCUGCAUUUGCUACUACUCUGAGAGGGUUUUCUUGUUUCCCUUCAAAAAGCCAUUUGUUUCUUGCCUUCCAGAUAGCCCAUAGUAAAGCUGCUACUUCAGCUCCCUCAACUUUAGCAUGCUGUCGUGGCCAAAAUUGCAGCAUCCAAACAAUGUCACACCUGUGAACUCCACGCAAUUCCUCUGCCAGAUUAGAGUACCUCCAGAUCUUCCUUGCCCUAUUGCACUCUACCAAGGCAUGGGACACCGUUUCUACAUGACAGUGACAACUUUGGCACAUUGGUUCCUGCAAAACCUUUUUUUUCCAUAAGUUUUCUGCUGUGGGCAAUAAAUCGUGAGCUGCUCUCCAUAAAAAAAUUUUCACUUUUUCUAGAAUUGCAAGCUUCCAGAUAAAACGCCAUAGGUUUUGAUCAUGAUUUGAGCAGCUUGGGUCCUCAGGGAACUUUAUUCUCAUAGCAACUUGGUAUCCACUCUUGACCGAGUAAUACCCUUUCUUAUCGUAGUGCCAUAUCAACUUAUCCUCUUUUGGUCUUUUUGGAAGUGGAAUCUGCAUUAUGGCUUCUGCAUCUUCUGGCCUAAAAUGCUGAACGAUCAAAUCUUCCCUCCAUUGUUGCUUCUCGUCUAUUAACUCCGCUACUGUGGUGUCAGCCCCCAUCGAAGGAGCUGAUAUUGGCUUAAAGGUUGUAGGUCUGGGGAUCCAAUUGUUUCCAUAAACCAGCACAUUCUGUCCAUUCCCAAUUCGCCAUCUCGCUCCUUUGUGAAGCACAUGUCUUCCCCAAACUAUGCUUCUCCAAACAAACGACGGUUUUGAUCCCAGGCCAGCAUUCAUAAAACCCGUAUGUUUAAAAUAUCUAGCCUUUAAGACUCUUGCCACCAGCGAGCUUGGAAAUUGCAUAAUUCUCCACCCUUGCUUUGCUACAAGUGCUUGGUUGAAGCUUGAGAGAUCUCAGAAACCCAUUCCGCCUCUAGCUUUUGAGUGACUAAUUCUUUCCCACCGCACCCAGUGGAUACCUUUUCUGUCUUGUUUUGUUCCCCACCAAAACCUUGCCAUUGCUUUUUGGAUAUCCUCACACAGCCCUAGAGGAAGUUUAAAAACACUCAUGGCAUAAGUUGGAAUAGCCUGUGCAACAGCUUUAAUCAACACCUCUUUUCCUCCACUUGUAAAGAACUUAUGUUGCCAGCUUGAGAUUUUAUUCAGCACCCUUAACUUAACUUCGUUAAAGAAACUCUUUGUCUUCCUUCCUAUCAUUGAGGGCAGUCCCAAGUAUUUUUCGUGCCGAGAGACCACCUUUAGCUGGAAAAUCUCACUUAUGGCUGUAAUUUGAUCAUUCCUUGUGCCUUUACUGAAGAACAUCGAAGAUUUCUCGAAGUUGAAGAUUUGCCCGGAAGCUUUCCCAUAGCAUUCAAAUAAAGCCUUCAAGUGUUUACAAUCUUCUACUGCUGCUCGGGUGAAGAUUAAGCUGUCAUCGGCAAAUAAUAAAUGGGAGACUUUUGCAUCUUUGCCGAAAUGAAUUCCAUGAAUGUGCCUUUGCUGUUCUGCCUGUAUCAGGAGGUUGGAGAAAGCCUCUGCACACAUUAAAAAAAGAUAAGGGGACAGGGGACAGCCCUGUCGAAGCCCUCUUUGUGGGUGGAUUAAUCCUGUAGCCAUUCCAUUGAUAACAACAGAGAAAGAUGUUGUUGUGAUACAAUGCAUAAUUAAAUCCACCCAUUUGAUUGAAAAACCUAGCUUUAACAUUGUUUGUUUCAAAAAGUUCCACUCCACUCUAUCGUAGGCCUUGCUAACAUCUAACUUAAGGGCCACCAGCCCAUGUUUUUUCCCCUUACUAUGUCGGAUUUUGUGUAGGCAUUCAUAACCGACUAUGAUGUUAUCAGUAAUUAGACGAUUCGGAAUAAAUGCCCCUUGAGUUGGGGAUAUAACCUCGUGAAGAAUUUGUUUCAGCCUAUUUGCAAUUGUUUUGGUGACAAUCCUAUAGAUCACAUUACAUAAGCUUAUUGGCCUAAAAUCUGUCACUCUCUGGGGUUUAAGAAUUUUCGGGAUCAAUACAAUAUGAGUGUGAUUAAGGGGAGUAAUUGUACCUCUACCGUUCAAAAUGUGGAGGCAAGUGGAGAUAACACCAAGCUUUACCGAGUCCCAGUGCUUUUGGAAGAAGGCUGCUGGCAGUCCAUCAGGUCCGGGAGCUUUGGUUGGACACAUUUGGGAAAGAGCUGUGGAGACUUCCUCCUCCGUGAAAGGCGAAUCCAAUUGGUUGUUCAUUUCUAAGGUGACCCUUGGCUUUAAUCCUGCUAGAGCAGCCUCUAUUUGCUUUUCUGAUGGGCUGGACGUUGUAAAUAAACUUGCAAAGUACUCACAGAACUGUUUUUCGACCCCCUCUCUAUCAUCAACCCAUACAUCAUGCUGGUCCAUGACCCCCCAUAUUCGGUUCUUCCUUUUCCUAGAUGAAGCUUUUGAGUGGAAAUACUUCGUGUUCUUGUCUCCUUCCUUCAGCCAGUCUGCUCGGGAUCUUUGCUUCCAGUACACUUCCUCAUCCAGCAGCAUUUUUUCAAUUUGCUCCUCCGUGCUUUUGAUCUCACUCACUUCUUCCCUCUGCGUGAAAUUGUGCUUCAUUUCUGAAAGUUUUUUCUUCAGUUGCUUCAACUUUUCUUUUUGCCCAUCGAACUCUUUCCGACUCCAUAUCCGCAGCUGGGCCAGACAGUUGUUGGUUGUUUUUUUAAAGAUUGUAACCGGAUCCCCUUGACUCCAGCUGCCACCCUUCAAUCAUUCUUCUUUCACUAUGUUCUUGCAAACUUCAUAAUGGCUCCACAUAUCCUCAUAAAAGACUCUUGGGCUGGAAUUCUUUUUGUACCAGGCAAACUUAUUCCUUUCUUGCAUUUCUAGCAUGACAGGGCUGUGGUCUGAGCACCAAGUAUCAAGAUUGGAAACAAUCAGAUUAUAGGGGCUUUGUUCCCAGUCUUUACUCCCGAGAAAUCUAUCGAGUCUUUCCUCUAUCAACUGCGGGCCGAAUCUUCUAUUCGACCAGGUAAAAGGAUAGCCCCUACACCCUAAGUCUAUCAAGUUGCAGUCAUUAACAGUCUCCCUAAAUGCAGCCACCAUAUCCAAAUUCCUAUCUUUCCCCCCUAACUUUUCAUUUGGAUGCAAGAUUUCGUUGAAGUCACCAAAACAUAACCAUGGCCAAGUAAACAUACCUGCAAGCCUCCGCAAUAAAGUCCAAGUGUGUCUUUUCUGUAUAGUUUCCGGGUGGCCAUAGAUUCCUGAGCAUCUCCAAAUUUUUCCGUUCACCCCUUGGAUCACUGCGUCUAUAUGAUGAUUGCUGUAGGAAAUAAUAUUGACAUCCACUUCAUUAUUCCAUAACAGAGCCAAACCACCCCCUAGGCCAUUUCUCCCUACAUUGAAGCAACUGUCAUAGCCUAAGCCUUUACUCAUGUUUGUCAUAUGCCCCGACUUCAUUUUUGUUUCACACAGAAAAAUGAUUUGUGGCCUAUGACAUCGGAGAAUGUCUUUUAUUGCGAGGAACGUCCGGGUAUUCCCCAAACCCCGGACGUUCCAACUUAUGAUCCUCAUUGCUGCCGGCGGGGCUGGAAGCCAGCCUCCGCCGAUAUCUCUUUCAAUGCUGAACCUAUCCCCUCUGCCCCUUCCAUGGCUGAUGUGUCCCAGUUUGAAGUGAGCUUAGCUGAGGGGGAAUUUCUUUCUCCUUGACUUGGCUUACACUCACCCUUGCUGCCCAUCUUGUAUUUUUUGCUUUGUGAACUUGUCAUUUGUGAAUCACAGCUGAUCCGCUUCAAGUUAUUUGGUAUGGUUUGGGUGAUUCCUUUCUUACUUAAGCUUCGGGCCUGGUGUUUCCAUCUUCUCCAUUUCGUUUUCGUCCUCCUUGAGUGAGACUCAUCGACCACCCCUUCAUCAUCCGAGCUCAUAUGGGUUGUGCUUGUUGAAAUGGGCUGGUGAAUUUUGUGGCCCAUUUCGAGAUCUUUGUCCACCUUUUCUCCCCCCAUAUUUUUCUCCAUAUGUCUUUUUUCAAUCUUAUUUCCCGCACUUUUGCACACAUUUUCAGACACUACCUCAUUGCCUGCUGCGCCUUGCUGCUCUCUGUUUUCAACUUGCUGCUCUCUCGAUUGUCGUUCUUGGGGCAUUAAUUGUUCCCCAGCUAGCUCUGCCACGUGUCUUAAGCUUAUUUAAGGACUGGUUGCUUCAUCUUGAUGUUGGAUUGACCCUGACCCGAUUUCCCCUCUCGGGUUCAGUUGUUGCAGUUGGGGGGUGCCUGUACUUUCUGAGUUCCUGUCUUCUCUUGUCGUUUUACUUUGGUCCCUAUUACCCCUCUCUUUGCUCCUCUGAAACCUCAUUCGCUCCGGUAAUGGAAGUGCCCUUAACCAAGCUCCAUAUGCCAACUCCUCUUUAGGUUGGCCUUUAUAUGUGGCACACUCUCUGUAUUGAUGCCCGAUGUAUCCACAGCAAAAGCAGUAGUCUGGCAGCUUCUCAUAAGUAACUCCAACCAAAAUCUCUUUCCCAUCUUCCUGUUGGAUUCUUAUGACCUUCUUCAACCUCUUCGUGAUAUCUAUCGAAAUCCGGACUCGCACAUAUUCCCCAAAACAGUCCCCCGUUGCAUCUGUAGCUACAUCUUCAACCAUCCCAAUCUUAGAACUAAUCUCACGAAUUGUGCUUAUAUCCAUGCACAUUAAAGGUACAUUAUGCAGCUGCACCCAAAAUGAGACGUGUGAAAAUGAUUGUUCCGUAACAUUGCCUAUACCACUCGGCUCUUGGAGCACUAUAAGAGCUCGGUCAAAAUGCCAUGGCCCCCCUUUUAGCACUCUUCGUUUAUCCUCUGCUGAGGAAAACUUGAACAUUAAUAUUUUAUUUCGCAAGCUCUCUACUUUGACUACUCCCACUGGGCGCCAGGCUUGUUGUAGAGCUGUUCUAAUCCCCUCGUGACUGACUCCUCUCGUUGUGAGGAUUUUUCCAACUAGGCACCCUGCUGCGAUCUGAGCCCCUUUUUCCUUCAUACUGCCCCCGAAAAUGACUCUAUCUUCCUCCUCCUCUUCGAGUGUUAUUGCACUGCAUUUCUUUAUUAACUCCUCUGUUUCCAUAUUGUUAAGGACAAGCUCUUUUUGCCUUAAAUACCACGCGAGAUCCUCACCUACCUCGACCUUCUUCUACGAUUCUGUUUACAGUCUUCUUUAAAGCCUCUCUCUUUUACGGUUCAAACCUUUUGGCCCCACGAGGACUAAGGGCUGUAAGCCAACCAGCACACGAGACGAAACCAGAAUAAUAAAAGGAAGAAAAACAAAAACCCACGCUCAAUCUAGUGAGCACCCAUCCGGAUCCUGUAGAUCCAGUUUAGCUUCCAUUCAGUGUUCUCUCAUCCAGAGAAAACACCCCUGAAGGAAGAGUUUAGAAGAAAAAUCCAGUGAUUAUCCUGUUGAGUAAAUAAACAAGGGGACAAUUUGUAAUUACCAGUUGCAUAAUUGAAAUCCCCAUGGAGUGAUUACUAUUGAGUGGCUUCAACAAACGAAUGUCCUUGAAUCCGAAUUCUCAAGUUGUCGUUGCUCGAGUUACUGUCCCCCAGACUUAAGCAAUUAGAGCUGCUUCUGAUUAGUCGCCGAUGGCCGUCAAAUUUUCCAUUAAUAUUAAAGUUUGGGAAAAGUACAGUGAGCCCCUAACGUUUAGAAAAAAUGAUAUAAAAUUCCUUAACGUUUCAAAAAAUAUAUAUAACCCUCGUUUUAUUAAUAAAUUUUGUUUCUUUUAAUAGUAAAUUUAUUUUUAUUUUAUAAUUACUGUUAUGUCCCUAUAAUAAAUAAAUUAACAUAUUGACGUAAGACAUGUCAUGUGUAUAAUGAAAUCAACAACUUUUAUUUAAAAUUUAAAAUUAAGAUAUAAUUACCUUUGCCCCAAUUAUUCAUUAUUUUUAGAGUGAAUUUUAAUUUUAUACAUUAUUCAUCAUUUUUUAUUGGAAAUGGUGUAUUGAUAAUUUAGAGUGAAUAAUUUGGGCAAAAGGUAAUUAUAUCUCAAUUUUAAGUUUUAAAUAAAAAGUUAUUCAUUUCAUUAGACACGUUAUUAACGACAUGUUUGAGGUUAAUAUAUUGAUUUAUUUAUUAUAAAAACAUAAAAAAAAUUAUAAAUUAAAAAAAAAUUAUUGUUAAAAUAAAUUGAAUUUACAAACAAAAAUGGAGGUUAUAUGUUUUUUUUUUUGAAAUAUUAAAGAAUUAUAUAUCUUUUUUUCUCAAACGUUAGGGUUCAGAGUCUCUUUUCCUUAAAGUUUUGCAGAACCCAUAACCAAUUCGCUACAACCGGUUUGCACGGUAGCCUGACUACACAUCAUUAAUUCCAUGAUAAAAUCACAGCCAUUGGAUUAAAGUAACUAUAAUCAGACGACUAGACUGAAUAUGGACAAAAAGCGGGGUACAAUACUCGAGGGACACCGUACUUGGACCCAUUCAAAUCUAUAUAUUAGGAUAUUUGUUGAUUUUUAUUUCACGUAUAUAUAGGUAUCAUGCUAUACGUCCACAAAAUUUUGACAUGCUGUCCAUUGUAACAUUGUACAAGAGUAGAUAAAUUCUAUGCCUCACUGGUAUUAUUCUAAAUGAGUCAAUCCAAGUGUUUAUUCCACUCUUCAAUAUAUUUUCCUUGUUUUAUAUAAGUUCAAUUCCAUAUCUAAAAUAAAAUAGAUUUAAGAAACAGAAAUUUGAAUCUUUAUAAAAUGGCCAUAAUGCCAGUAAAAUAAUUUUCUUCGCAAUCAAAAAAUAAAAUCUGGAUCUUCUUGUAACAUACUAUAUUCGCCACAUCCAAUAUCUCUGUUUAGUAUAAUUUUUUAAGUAAAAUUUUUGUUAGUAGAACUUUUACAAGUUGAGCUUUUAUUAAAAAAAUUUUAGUUGUUUGGUUGUCAAUAAGAGCUUUUAUUAGAAAUUACAAAAUUACUUUAAUAUGCAAAUUUUUUAAAGUUAUGUUAUGAAAAGUAUAAAAUAAGAUUAUCAAAUAAAUAGAUGAUAUUUUAAUAUUUAAAAAAAACUUUUCAAUCUCUACUCUCAAAAGCUCAAAAUUUGAGGUUUUACUAGUAGAAUCAAAAUAGCUUACUUAAUCCUAAAAAAUUCUACUAAAAAGACAACCAAACAACAACAAAAAUUUCUAUAAGAGUUUAUAAAAUUAAAUAAAUACUUAUAACUAUUGGAUAAGCCGUACCAAACAGCCAAUAUAUUAAAGAUCCAGCUUUCCCAAACUUAGGAAGGUCCAGCAAAAAUCUACUAAUUUGGCCACUUUAUUCUAAUUAAAACAGACAAUAUUACAAUUUUCCUUGAAAGUACUGCAUGGUGUCGUCAAUAUCUUAUUAAAAUAUCAUACUGUUUAAAUAUUCUUUCAAUCCCUUCAAUUCAAGAUAAUUAUUUAAUUAGUAUCAAUACUUUAACAAAUUGCCCAAAUGGUCAGUUUUUAUUGUUCUAUUUUGUUUAAAUCUAAUUGAUUAUCAUCUAAUUAUUUACGUCUUGCAUUUCAAAAUUGUUUGAAUUUUAAAUUAUAUCAUAUAGAAACACUAUCUUACUGUUAAAGACUUAAGCUUUUUAAGCAAUUCGUAAUUUUUUGAAAAUAUGAAGACUAAGUGAAUAAUUAACUCAAAUUAGCUAAACAAUUAACUCAAACUAUAUAUUAAAGACUAAAAAAAGCAUUUAUCCUAACUAUACCAAAAUGGAAGAACCAGCAUGGAUUUGGCUAUAGAAAUACAUAUACGGAAAUUAAGGCCAAGCCAAUCACAGCUUAACCUGAACGUGCACAUGCCCAUUUAAAGUGAGGGGGUAGUUGCAAAUUUCCUGCACACACAACUAAAAAUCAAGAAUGGCUUCUUUAACCAAAAUAUUGAUGUUACUUAGUCUUGUUGUUUCAUUUAUGUGUAUGAUGAGCAACGCCGCUUCUGAUCGCCCUGUGAAGCAUGUUAAUAUCAUAAAUAAAAUAGGAAAAGAUUUUAUAAUGCGUUGCCAGUCGAAAGAUGAUGAUCUUGGUGAACGCGUGCUGCAUAACGAGGAGACAUUUUCCUUUUCAUUCAGGACUGCAGUUUUCAAACGUACUCUAUUCUUCUGCGGAUUUACAUGGGAUGGCCAGUUGCAUUGGUUCGACAUCUAUGAUGCCGGGAGAGAUGGCUGCAAUGAUUGUACCUGGAGUAUAUUACCAAAUGGUCCCUGUUUAGCUGCGACUCGUCUUAAUCAUGCUAUUUGUUAUCAGUAUCAUUAAUUAAUAAUUAGCUUCCGUAUGAAUUAUCUUGAUACAAAAUAAAACCCUAUAAUGUUUAGCAGGUAAAACUUUGUUUUUUUAUUUGAUGCGAGAGGUUUGAGUUCGAGGUUCAGAAUCCAUUAGAUUGUGUAAGUGUCAGUCUGUUUAGUUGGUAAAAUAAUUUCUUCGAUAAUACAAGAGAUUAAUUUGUUUAAUUUAUGGGUGAUAAUUAGUUUAAUUGGUAAAACAUCUUAAUUAAUACAAGAAGUCUUUAAGGUUUAUAUCCUACUGGGACGUGUGAACAGGAAAUUUAAUGAGAAGCUGCUAUGCUUAAUUUUAAACAAAAAAAAAAUUCCAUUCAAAUUCCAUAUUAAAAUACGUGAAAAGGAUCUGGAUCUCCUAUGUGUGAAAGGAUAAGCGCAAAUCUACUAAUGCUAUACAACAUGUACCAAUUAAUUUAGAUCAUUUCUUUCCAUUUGAACCCAAUUUUCUUUAAAAGCGCAAGAAACAAAAAACGUGUCCUUUGAUCAAACAUGGAAAGAAAUGCACCUUGGAAUUCCUAUUUAAAGGCAUGUUCAUUGAAUUUGCAUAUACCUAAUCUUUUGUUACUUAUAAGUCUUUGUUGUUUCAUUGAUGUUUAUGAUGAGCAAUGGCGAAUUGGCGAAAUACAACGGCCUGAAAAGCACGUUCAUGAAAUCAUGAAUGAAUUAGGGUUGGAUGUUACAGUGAGUUGCCAGUCAAAAUAUGAUCGAGAUAACUAGACUUAAAUUAAAUUGAUUGAUUUCUCCGAUAGUAACAGAUUUUGGGCUUGUGCAUACAACUGUUCUCAGGCCCAUAGGCCAGUAUGAAUCAAACCAGCCCUUCUUAAUUGUAAAUCGUUUAUAACAUGAGUCCCCCUGUGGUUACAAUUUUGAGUAAUGUUAAAGAGAGGGAAAAAGGAGAGAAAGAUGAUGGGAAAUGAGAUAAUUUUAUUUUCUCUCUCUAUUCAGCCCACUUUCUCUCGUCUUUCUCUAUCUUUACCAUUUUUCUACAAUUUUAAACCAAAAUUACAGGCUUUCUGUUCCUCCAACAAAGGCUAACUUUUGCCACUAAGGUCUCGACCAAUUGUGGGCACCGCAGGCGGCUCAUGCCCUCAACUAUUGAGAAUAUAAGUUUGUGCCUCUGUGUGUAUAGAAGCUCAAAUAUUUUUUUCCUAUUUUAAAUUUGGAUAGAGAUAUAUAUAGAAAUGUUUCCAUUCAAGAUUUUAGAUUUGUUAAAGUAUAGAAAAAUUAGUUUAGUAGUGUAAUGACUAUAAAAGCUAUUAAAUCGCAUGAUUUAAUAGAAUAAUUACAUCAUACUAUUAAAUUGUAUGAUUUAAUAUUUUUCCAGACUUUAAUAAAGUUUAGAAUCUUGGAUUAGAUUAACACUCGACUUAUCUAUCUCUUCAAAAUAUUAGUGGAAAUAUUUUUUUUAUUAGUUUUAAUAGACUUUUGAGCUAUACUACAAGCGUAUACAUUUAAAUUUUGAUAGACUUCGAAUUGUAGUAGCGGUAGAUCGUAUCCAAUUAAAAUAAAAAAUAAAAAAUAAAAGGGCAAACUUUUGAUGCUCCAAUUUGGAGUUCUUUUCCAAGCUUGGUCAUUAGUAAUCAGACAUUAUAAAAUUAUUUAUACCCAACAAUUUUCAGGUAAUUCCGUAACAGCUAAUACAAUAAAUAAACAGUAAUAUUAGUAGUAAACUUUUAAUAAGAUUACAAUGAUGUUAUGUCGCUCUUGUUGAUUGGCUUUGCUGUUUGUAUGGUCUGUAAUUCUCGUGUGUAUGAUACUGAUAGGGCAAUUUAUAACUUAUAUUUAUUGUAAAUUACAACUAAUACUUCUUUAAAAGAAAUACAACUAAUAAAAAUAAUACAAAAAUAAAUAAUAUGCAAGCGGGGCCACGUGGCUUAUUUUUAAUAAUUGUAAAUUACAUUAAAUAUAAAUUAGGGAGACCUGACCAUUGAUAGUGGUGGUCUUUAACUUUAUAAGUGUUGAUUUUUGGAAGACGAUUAGAAAUGGUACUUUGUAGAGUAGUGCUCAGAUUCUUGUAUGGGAAAGUACAAAAGUAAGACAGAAAAAAGUGUCCUCCUAGUCAAUACCACAAAACAAUCCUUCAACAAGAAGUACAUGCAUGCAGAUCCAUGAUUUUGCUUCAUGUGAUGGUCAAGUGAAACAUCAAAAAACUCUGCAGCACCAAAACCUGAGCUAGUCAGCGGCUAGCUGUUGUGAAUUUUGGAAUCUAUUGUUUUGCUUCAUCUUGAAUCUUGGGCUUCAAUAAUGUAAGUGAAAGAAGAUAAAUUAAGGGUCCAAGUCCAACUACAAUAUUGUUACCUACAGGUUAUAGUGAAACUUAUUAUUAUAGAUACUUGCAUAAUUUGUUAACAACAGUACUGUGACCUUUAGGAUCAGAAAGUGCAGUACUUUUGUAAAGAAAGAAUCACUGCAGUCUCGGAUCUUUGAAAAGAUGAGUGAACAUGAAAUGCAAAUUGGGAAUCAAUUCUUUUACACUCAUUAGUCAUUACCAACUUGGGAAUUGUAAAAAGUGAUACAGCCAAAACUCCACUAGUCAAUGGUCUCCCAGCCCCCCAUGGAAUUUGAUAAGUAAAAUCAAUAUGACUUCUUUCACUCUGAAUUAUCUUGUCACAAACCUUUUUGGGUUCUUUUUACUAGAUUCUUACUGUCCAUCUUAAAUAUGCUCUCAUUUCAUUUGAAUGAAUUGCCUGCAAAUAUUGAAAUGGGAUGUGAAAAUUUUUCAAGUACUGCAAAUGCCAACCUUGCAACUAUUGGCUAUGUGUGUUGUCAUGCAUUAAGAUAUAAGAAAUAGGGUCUAACAACAUUUUCUUCUUUACAUCAAAAGUACCCAAAAGAGAUUUGUAAUUGAAGAAGCUGGUGAUAAAACAAAACUUCAUUUCUACUUAGUUGAAACUAUUUAAAAUAAUUAUUUGAAACCAAUUCUGCUACCAGAGGAAGAUGAAUAGAAUAGUGAGGAGGCAGAGAAGCUUGUGUUGUUGCUUUUUGGAUGCAGAGUUACCGUGGGUUUAGAUGAAGAUGUCGCUAGAACUCCACUUGAGUUCUUAUUUUCUUGAACAUUAGCAGCUGCUGGUGAUCCCUUGAGGAGCAUGUCAACCUUUGCAUACUCCUCUCUUUCAUGUUUUAUUUCUUUGAGCAUCGCCGCAACAUCUUUCAUUGUCGGUCUCUCAUCAGGAGAUGCAUUUACACACAAUAAGGCUACGCCUAAUGCCUGCAGCAUUUCAUCAAUUUCUGACUCUGGUCGAGAUAGAAGACUCGGAUCGAGGACUUCAAUUCCCUUCUUCUGUCUCACCCAAUCUACAACAUGGGAUCCAUCAGGUAUUGUUGGAUCAAUUGGUUGCUUCCCUGUCAAGACUUCAAGCACUACAACCCCAUAGCUGUAAACAUCGCUUUUCUCUGUGAUCUUCAUCAUGUAACCAUACUCUGAAUAGAACAAUAAAUGUUAGUUGAAGAUUGAUAAGUAGCCAUAGUGGGAGCAUAGGAUAAGAUUUAACAUGAUAUUGAUUAACAAGAAGUAAUGGAAUAACAAAGCCACAGACAAUAUAAAGUAAAUGGCUAUUGAACUAGGGCAUGAAUCAAAAGUUGCUUACCGGGAGCAAUAUAUCCAUAGGAACCAGCAACUGUGUUCGAGGAUCGAGCAAAAUCACCAUCAUCAACAAGCUUGGCUAGGCCAAAGUCAGCAAUAUAAGGCUCAAAUUCAAGGCCAAUGAGAAUGUUAUUGGCUUUAAUGUCCCUGUGAACUAUGGGAGGGACACAGUCAUGGUGCAAGUAAGCAAGGCCUUGAGCUGCUCCAAGCAAAAUUUGGUACCUCAACUCCCAUUCCAAUGCAUUUCCUGUUCUCUCAUGAAGAAGACUGCCCAAGCUCCCAUUAGGCAUAUAGUCAUACAUGAGCAAUCUAUUGUUUCGAUUCCAACAACAACCCAAGAACCUAACAAUAUUCUUGUGUCGAAUUGAGCCAAGCGUUUUUAUCUCUGCUGAGAAGGAAUCCCGAACCCCAGAUUUCUCAUCACUACAUCCAUUAGCUGCAGCCAUUGUUGUUGGCCAAAGCUUCUUUACAGCAAUAACUUCACCAUUGUCCAUAUCAGCACGAUAAACAACCCCAGAACAUCCUUUGCCUAUCACAUUGGCAUCAACUAGGCAUUUCAAGACUUGCUCUACUGAGAAAUUCAGCUUCUGGAAUGGAGUGAAUUGCCAUGGCCACGAGUCUCCCAACUCAGAAUCAUCAUCAUCUUUCAUAGCCCUUCGUGCUCGAAUUAAUGCAAAAGUCCCCAUGAUCGCCAUUGCCACCGUCAAGGUGAUCAACAACGCAAUGGCUACUUUAAGUUUCCUUGACCUCCGCACAUCAUUUUCAUUGCUUGCAAGUCCUGCCUUGCCAUCAUUACUCAAGAAACACGAGUCCUUUCUCGAAGAACAAAGGCCUUCAUUUCCUGCUAGGUCUGUUGGCGACAACUGUCUAAAGAGCUUGUUGUCAGGAAGAUAACCUGUGAAUUUAUUGUAGGAGAUGUUGAGAGAUACAAGAUUAUCAAGCUGUGCCAGCGGAUUCAAAUUCCCCUCAAGCUUGUUAUGUGAAAGGUCUAGAAUGGAGAGCUUAUUUAGAGCAGAAAUUUGAGCUGGUAUCGGCCCAGUGAGUCCAUUACAACUGAGGUUGAGAGCUAUUUCAAGGGCUUCUAUUUGACCAAGUUCCAUCGGCACACUACCAGUGAGCUGAUUGCUGCUAAGAUCAAGCAGCUGAAGACUUGAACAGAGGCCAAGUGAUGAUGGUAUGGGUCCAGAAAACAGAUUCUUCGACAGAAUGAUCUUGUUCAAUGACACAAGACGCCCCAAGCUCGCUGGUAUUUGACCGGAAAAUCGAUUAUCCGAAACAUCAAGAACUUGUAGCCCAGAGAGAGAUGACAAAGAAUUAGGCAGGGAACCCUGCAGAGUGUUAUGGCUAAGGUCUAUCAUUUGCAACUCUGUACAAUCACCAAUCUCAUCCGGAACCGACCCUGAAAGGCGAUUGCUAGAUAAAUCAAGAAAGUUUAAAGUCUUCAAACCCCCAAUUUCUCUAGGAAUCAAACCAGCAAUGCGAUUAUUUCCAACCCUUAACCGCACAAGCGAGCUGCAAUUGCCAAUUUCUGGAGGUAUGGACCCCGAAAUGUCGUUGGAAAUCAAGAGAAGCUUUGUGAGGUUCUGAAGCUGGAACAAACCAGCAGGAACGCUAGCAGUGAGUGAAUUGUGAGACAAGUCUAGAGCUUGGAGAUUGCUACAACUAGCCAAAGUUGAAGGAAUGCUUCCUUCAAGCUGGUUCUGCCAAGCAAAGAAAACAGUGAGCUUUGACAGCAUCCCAAUCUCUGGAGGAAUCAAUCCUGAAAUCUGAUUUGUAUCAAGUUGCAAUUGCACAAGAUUUGUGGCGUUGGCCAGAUUCGCAGGUAUUGAACCAGACACAUUGUUAUCACUAAUCAUAAACUCUUCAAGCUCCGAAAGGCCUCCUAUUGACAAUGGUAUAGUCCCAGACAGAGAAUUUAAAGAAAAAUCAAUCAUUUUCAAACUAGUACAAUUACCAAUCUCUUCUGGGAUAGCACCAACAAGACUAUUUUGCCACAAGAACAAUUCUUCGAGCUUUUUAAGCUUACCAAUCUCUGGUGGAAUCGAACCAGAAAGACUAUUUUCAUACAAAAACAAACUCACAAGCUCAGAGCAGUUACCUAUUUCAGCCGGAAUCUCACCAGAGAUCAUUGUAGUGUAAAUAGACAAUGUCUGAAGUUUGCUCAGCUUACCCAAUGAAGCUGGCAAUGAACCCGAAACUUGCGUAUCAGCCAAUCCCAAAGCAGUCAUAUUGCUGCAAUCUCCGAGCUCAGCAGGAAUCUUCCCCACAAUGUCCUUGUUUCCUCCAGCUCUCAUCUCUUCAAGAUUGGAUAAUCUUCCAAGCUCUGCAGGUAUAUUCCCGGCCAAGGCAUUAUCAAAGAGUAAGAGUUUCCUGAGGCUCUUACAGUUACUUAACUCAACAGGGAUUUUCCCAGUAAGCUGAUUAGAGUUCAAAAUCAACUCUUCAAGAUUGUGAAGCUUGCCAAGACUUGAAGGUAGAGUACCAACAAGAUUGUUAGAACUAAAGUCAAGGACUAUAAGUCCUACACAAUCACCAAUAUCAAACGGGAUACUCCCAGUGAGAUUUGCAUCAGAAAUGACAAGCGUUUGAAGAUGUUUAAAAGAAGAAAGAUUGGUUGGUAUUGGAAGUUGAAGAGGCACAGACUGUAUUGUAAUCUCAGUUACAAAACCUUGAGCAGAGCAUUUAAUGGAGGUCCAGUUACAUGGGGAGGCAUCAAGACUGUUCCAGUUAUUAGAGAAUGAAGAAGAAGAAGAUAAUGGGGAGUGUAGCCAUGAAAAGAGAACGGAAGCUUCAUGGUUUUGAGACUCAACAACAGAGGUAAAAAGGAUAGAGAGGAAGAAGAAAAAGAAGAAGGAUUGUUGCCUCGAGCUGGGCAUUGAUAUUGAAGACAAUUUGCCUCAAUUUCCAAAACUUUCUUCUCGGGUUUGUAUCAUUGGGUUUCUUGAUGUUUUUUCUCUCUUUCUUUGUGCUUGCUUGCUUGCUUUCAACUCAAAAACUCUCAACAAGUUUUGAUAGUAACGUUAAUGCAAAAGCACAAAAAAUAAUAAUAAUAUAAAAGAUUAUAAAGAAAUGAAAACAAAAACAAAGCCAACGCCUAGAGAUCUCCAACACCACCACCACCACCACAACACUUAAUAUGUAUUAUAAAAUGGGGUUUCUGCUAGAUGGGCUCACGCGCAAGAAAGAAGAGAGACACCAUAUGACAUGACUUUUCAAGCUUCAUAUAUAAUUUCCUGUACAUGUAAAUAAUAAAAUGAAAAAAAAUAUAGAUUUGUUUAAACUAUUAUUUAAUAGUGAUGAGGGGUGUGAUGAGAGCAGAUGGCUAGCCCUAACUCAAAGUGAGUGCUUGUAUGUUUUUAAUAAUUUUUAAACGCACAAACAGACACAAGGGAUGCUUAUUCUCUUCCUCAAUUUGCUCAUUUGAAGCUUUCUGGGUUCAGUUACCACGUUUGUAUUUUUGGCUCCUCUCUGUCAUCCAUUCAUUUUACAAAAUGAAUGGUUGGAUCAAAUAUUUUAAUUUAUUAACAAAGAACAAAAUUAGAUUUCAUUUUUAUUGAAGGAGAUCAAAGAAUUGAGAGUACAAUUAAGUAUUGUGUGUUAUUAUUAUGGCAAGAACGGCAUGGUAUCUUAAAAUAAGAAAUGUGACUCUAAUGUAUUGUGAUUAGUGAGGUGUAUAUGUGCUUGCACCUACUAUAUAUUAGCAAUAUCUUGGUUUGCUUUUUGCAUGUACAAAAGUCAAAAUUUAUUACUACUAAUCCAUCAAUUUGGAAGCUUAUAGAAAAAGUUAGGAGAAAAUUAAUUUUGAACAUUUUUUAGUAAUAAAUUUUAUUAAAUUUAAUUUAAGAGAAAUUUAAACAUCAAUAAUAUAUAUGAGUAAUAAUAUGAUCACAAUUUUCUUGUAUGAACUAUUUUGGUAUAACGUUAUAUUGAACAAUUGGAGAAAACUUUGCAUGAAACACAUGUUUUAUUUUCAUUAUUUUCUAUUUUUAUUCAAUUAAUAAAAUUAUACCACCAGUUUGGACAAAGAAUUUAUAAUUUUAUCAAUACUGAAUAAAUAUUAUUAACAGUCUUUUUUUCCUCUUUAAUGGUUGAAUGUAUGCUUUACGGGGAUAUGUCAAGAUUGCUAAUAAAUGUUAUUUUACCAUUUACAUAAUUCAAAACAACCUAUUUAUGAAAGAGCUUUCCUUAAUUGAUUACUUAUUAUAUAUUCUUAACGUAGAUUCUUAAGGCAGAUAUUAAUAAAAGCCUUAUAAAAAAAUUAAUUAAAAAACGAGAGUAGACUGUAUCCUGAAACAUAAUUCUCACAUGGAAUUUGAGUUGCUGAUAUACUAAAUAAUAAUAAAAAAAUGUUUAUUUUAAUCUUUUUUUAACAUUUAGGAAAAAUUUCUUUUUUAAUAUUUAACUUCAAAAUCAAUGUCUAACUCCAGUGGUAAGGAACGGUCAUCCUAACUCUUAAGGGUCAAGUCUUAGAUUUGAGUUUCAAUGGAUAUGUGAGUAACUAGAUUAGAAACAAAAUAGAGAUAUUUUAUCUUUUUUCUUGUUAUUCAUUUUUGAAUUUUUCUUUUUCUGGAAGGUUUAUCCAUACCAAAAUAUGGGUAAGAUGAGAAUAUUAAAAUUUCAAGAACUAAGAAUUGCCCUUUAUUCACCAUUUAGCUAUGGUAAGUUGAGAUGAGACAGUCUAGUGUCUUAAAGUUGAGAAAAACAUAUAUGGUAGUCACAAAUAUACCUUAAAAAAAACUCAUUAGGAAACAUGCUAAGCAAUUCUUUAUUUUGCAUUAGCAAAUUAAUUGUAGGAUAUCACUACUUUAUGGGCCACUUAAUUAAAUUCAUUAUUUUGACAACAACGUGUAUCAGAAUAAUUCAGAAAAUUACAUCACUUUAAAAUACAUGGGUAGAAAGUUGAACACAGAGUGUCACUAUUUAUCUUUUCCUCCUAGUUCUGUACACUUUGCUUAUAUUUGUCAAUAUAUAUAUAUAUAAUUAUGAUAGACCACUACCGAACCAACUCAAUCCCUUGCAAAAUAAAGCAAUGUUUUUUUUCUUCUUUCCCUAUAAUUUUAGUUUUACACAACUUUCUCUUCAUUGGAUUAGAAAUAGAGCUAGCCAGUUGAAGUUGCAAAUUGCACAAUAGAAUUUGGUCAGUUUCAAACAUCACUCAGCUGGGAAUUUGAAGCAAUCAUUGGAUGGCAAGAUGGUCUACGAGACAUUAGCUAAACCACCACUGAAUGAUGAUAACAACGAACCCUAAUUUCAAUUCCAAAUCUGCUUAAUUGAAUUGAUAAAUAUUAAUUCUUCACAAGCUCACAUAAUUUGACACCCCCAAUGCUUGCAAAUGCUAUUGCCUCCAUUAGAAGUCUGACGGGGGAAUUUGUGACAUCUCCUGACAAAUUUUACGUACAAAUUAAUUAUCAAUUUUAAUCAAACACAGUGUGUGUGCACAAGAUGAUGGCUGAUUGCCGAUUCCGCAAGCCUGUUUUGCUUGUUAAGCCAUGCAUGCGCCACAAAGCGUGGCUUCAAAAUUAUCAACAUUACAAUUACAUCAACCAAUUGAUACAAUAUUAAACCUUAUCAUCCCUACUGUUUAAUUUAUUUAAUUAAUCCCAUGUAACGCGUCCACACACGCGCCGAUGAAGUGGUAUUGCUAGUAUUUUUGUUAAAUAUUUUUUUGUUUAUUUUUUAUUUUUGACCUGACAAACUAUGUGUGUAUGUGUGUGUGUGUAAAAGAGCAUCCUUCGAAAGAAGAGAAAUUAGCUAGACCCAGAUCGCCAUUAGAUCCAAUGGCAUGUUAAUUUAAUAUAAAUUACAAAACAUAGUCCCAAAUUUUUAUAUAUUUUUAACUAGGUAUAAGCUUAUCAGUACAAGUUCUGAAGAAUUAAGACUUUAAGGACAAUCAAUAAAUUUAAUACAUAACAAUAUAAGUUCUGCAUUGGCAUGGCAUCUUCAAUUUUAUAUAUAUUGCAACAGGAUUAAUUUACAUUAUUUGGGUCACCAACAACAUUCAAUUUAAUGGGCUUCACCUAGAGUUUUAACGGUCAAUAUUGAUCCAAUUGGUCAAAAUCAUUGUCACCUCAAAAUUUGCACAAUUAACUAGACAACAAUGAGAAUAAAAGAAAUUUUAGGUUUCUAUUAAGGAUUUAAUUUUACUCUUAUAGGCCUAUGUUCAAAUUAUGAAGGAAAGUGUAACACAUAAUUGAAGCAUUGAGAUUGGUGAUUGAUUAAACAAAUAUAAAUCAAUUUUUUUUUUAAAAAAAAAGAUAAACUUAAUCAUAAUUUAUAUAAUAAGGUAGUAUUUACUUUUUGAAUUGAAGUGAAAAUCUAAGGAUUGAGAAUGUGGGGUGAAAGUGCGAGUGUUAGUAAUUUAUUUAUUUACAUUAGAAUAGGAGUGUAGAAUAGAAAUUAAAAUCUUAUUUAUAUAUUUACUUUGUCCUUGACUGGAAGUGGAUUAUUUAAAAUUAUAAUUAUGUCAUUAUUUAAAGAACUUUAAUAUUAUAAAAUAAACUAUUUAUUUAUUUUAAUUUUAAUUAUAUAAAUCAUAACCAUUAUUAAUAUUCUUAAUUAUGUAAAUCAUAAUUUUUAUUUUAUUUAAUUUUAAUUAUGUAAAAAUAAUUUUAGAUUCUUGAUACUAUAUCUUAAGACAACAAUAUUGAAAGUAAAUACCAUUAUUCUCUCUUAAGAUUUGACUGAAACUUAAGGCUUUGUUUGGUAUUAUAUAUUAUUUAGCAAUUAUCAUUUUAAUCAAAUUCAAACUACUAAAAUACUUCGUAAAAACUUACAACUUAGUUUUUUAAAAGCUAAGCUUUUAAUCCAAAAUUAUUUUAUUUUAUAUUUUUUAAAAAGUAGAGAGAUGGUAAAGUUUUCUAAUGAAUUUUUGAAACCGCCCACCUCUCCCAAAAUUUGAACGAUAGCCAACUAAAUAUAAUUACUUGAAAAUCAACCGACCAACACCCUGGGGCCAACUUUUACCCUGUAGUUAGAAAAUAUAAAAUGCUAAAAUCUCACUAAUUUAAAUUUAUCAAGCACUUAAUGAAUAAUAUGUUAAAUACGAUAUAAUUUGAAAUGAAAUCUUAAAACUUUAUAGCUACUAGUGAACAAAAAAAAUUCUAACUUAAAAAAAUUAAUUUUAUGAAAUACCCAUCAUUUCACUUAACUGCUAGAGUUUGUAUUUUACAACCACCGUAAUUUCAAAGCCACAAGACUAUCAUAAUCUCAACGAUUCUAAACCUCAUAAGUAUCAAUGAAAUUAUUCCUUGAAUGCCUAUGUAGACUAUGAUCACAACCUAAAGUUGAAUGAAUCACGUGGGUAAGCGACUUCAACAAACAGGCCAAAACACAAGUGGGUCAAUCUUUUACAUUCUAUAAUCAUCAAAAGAAGAAAAAUCCUAAAAAUAAAAAAGAGAAGAAAAAAGAAACAAAACAAGGCAUAUUCACGUCUCAAGCUACAACCUUAAGUGAGAAAAUAAUGAAGAUUUGGACUUUUGGGAAGUAAAAAAGAAAAUGAAUUGAGUGGAGUGGUAGCUUUACCCACAACACAUCCCUGAUUUUGAGGCCAUAUCACGUGAGGACUCGAAUCCAAAAAUUUUGCCCCCACUAAUUAAUUUCCCUAACAAACCAAACUAUAUAAUAUCCUAUCACUAUGUAACAAAUGAAGCUUAUAUAUUACAUUUAUAAUAUUUUAUAUGAAUAAAGUCAAAAUAAAUAAAUAAAUUUUGUUCCAUGUAGGAGAAAAGGUUAAUUAAAAUAUAACCUUUAGGACCAUAAAGGUGGAAACAAAUAAAAUUAAAGCUAAACGGCGCUGCUUUGGCAGCCCCCUUGCUUUAAGGGUCGUGGUGGCCUUGGGAGUUUCCCCUAUGGAAUCUAUACACGUUUUGUUUCUGUCACUACCUCAUAAGCUCAACCUAAAAUCCUUUGUUUAUUCAUUAAAUUAUGUUUGAGAAGAGGGUUAAUAUAAGGACAAUCUCACUGUAAGGUUAAUUUAAAUCUAUUUGAUUGGUUAAUAAUAUUUCAUAUACUAAAUUAGAAAGAGUGAAUGUUGAAGUGUGCUUUAAGGACACAUAUUAAAAUACUAAAAUUGGCAAGUUCUUUAAAUUGUGAUUGUGUCGAUGUGUCGAAAAAUAGACAUAAAGAAUUAUUAUUGGUGGAAAGAAUAGGAGGCUAUGGUUCUUGUGGCGAGGGCAAUCACUCCAUAGAUUUACUUAUGGUAUAUUUAUUUGUAUAUUGUGACUUGGUUUUGAAAGUGAUCCAAGAUUGAGCAGAAUGAAAAUUUUAAUGAGGUGUGUCACUGAGCAAACAUAAAAGCUUUUUGACUCCCGAGAUCAUAUUCUAUAAUCAAGAGCAAGCCCUUUUAUUUUUUUAUUUUUCUUUUUUAAACAAAUUAAAGGCCCAUGCUGUCUUUUGAAGUGAGACUAUGAAAGCUAAACAAUGACAAGUCAAUUGAAGUGGUUGUUUGGAUAUGUUACUCCUGGGAUGUGAACAUUUCACAAAUAAUUGAUUAUGUAAACAAAGUUCUGUUUGGGCCAAAAAGGACCUGGAUAACAUGAAAUUUGGGGCUCAAAAGUCAAAAGGCCUGAAACUCAAAGCUUUUUACUAUCCUCUAAGCAAACUUCGCUCAAUCAAUAUUUAUGGGUGCAUUUAGUAGUUUGCAUUUUAUUGUUUGGUAUUGGAUUAAAAUAUUGUUCUUAUACUAGUUUAGAUUUGUAAGUUUGUAUUAUAUUAUAUUUUAUUGCAUUAAAAAUAUGUUCUUAUGCUAACUCUUAUUUUGGUUAUAAUUUCUAGUUGCAUUACAUUCAAAAAGUGGCUAAGUCUCUAUUUGAUAUAACUUUUUAAAUAGAAUUUUUGUUAAUAGAGCUUUUAAAAGUAGAAUUUUUAUCCAAAAAAUUCUAGUUGUUUAGUUGUUAAUGAGAGCUUCUAUAAAAAAAUAUAUAAUUAUUUUAAUAGGUAAGUUUAAUAAAAUUAUAUGAAAAUAAUGAAAUAAGAUUGCCAAAUAAAUAGAUGAUAUUUCAAUAUUUUAAAAAAACUUCUCAACCUCUACUUCCAAAAGUCUAAAAUUUAAGAUUUUACUAAUAAAUGAAAAUAACUUAUUUAAUUUUAAAAAAUUGUAUCAAAAAAGACAACCAAACAGUAAGAUCUUAUAAGAUUAAAUAAACAUUUAUUAUCAUUAGAUAAGUAAUACUAAAUAGACACUAAUACAAUAAAAGAUAUAUAAAAUAAACUCAUGGAAUUAGGAUUAGACCGUGUUGCAUUAAAAUAUUGUUCAGAUUUUAAAUAUAAUCAUUUAACUUUUAUUGUUUAAUACGAUAAUAAAUUUAAAUUUAUUAACUAUUAAUUUAUAUUUAUAUUUAAAUCUUCCAACAGCUGCCAAGUAAUCUUUGGCCUUGUCACAUGAAGGGAUGUUAUCUCUAAUUGUUCUAUCAAUGAUGUAUUUCAUUGUGUCCAGACAGUGUCUGUUAGAAUUAUACCAAGCUGCCCACUCUACUUUUUCAACAGUUGCCAAGUAAUCUUUAAUAAAGAAUAUCUAGAGCUAAGGAAUCAAUAAUAAUUAAAAAAAAAUUAAGCAUGCGAAAACAAAAUCAUGCUAUAAGCAAUGACUCCUCAUUCUAAUUUUCUCCAAUAGCAACAUAAUAUGUUAGGCAUCCUUUAACAAUAUAGGAAUGCAUUAACUUAAAGAUAAAGCAGACAAGUUGAAUAUACUACCAACAUUGACCUAUUACUGACAGGGUAAUUAAGCCACUCAAUAGACAAUACCCAACAAAUCUCUUUAUCUACCCAAGCAUCCUACCAAGUAGUGAUUUACUGACAUGAUAAUAUCGACACCCAUAUGGAUCUCGGUAAUAGCGAUAAUAAUCUAUCACAUAAUUCAUAAUUAAUAAUUAUAAAUAAGCAUUUGAUUGAAAAACAUCAAAUAAUUUAUCAUGAUUGGUCCUACGACAUGUAGAUACACAAUCACUCUAAAUUGUAGUUUUGUAGCACAUAAAAUUUUAUACAUUAACAAAAUUGAGACUAAAUAAACUUUAUCAAACCAAAUAAAGUUUCUACCAAAAUAUUAAAUCAAAUAAAAUAUCUAUAUACCUCAAUGAAAUGUAAGAAUGUUAUGCCCCUAACAUCCAAUAAUGAUGGAUUAUUCUAAAUUUAAAAUUCUAAAAAAUUACCAAAAAUUGUAAAUAUUUUGGAUUAAAAUAACGAUUUUUGAGACUUAUGGUUACUGUUUUUAACAUCAAAAUCUUUGGCCCACAUUGAAAAUAAAAUAAAAUAAGUUAUUGAGAAAAACUACCAUUUAUCAAAAUAUCAAGGACUGUGAUGAUAUUUUGUCACGUUGACCAUAAGUCAAGGACCCUUUUGAAAAGUUUACAAACUUCUGAACCAAACUCAAAUUUCUAAGUGCAAAUAUUUUCCAAAUGAUGGGUCAUACUGAAAAGUUAUGAAGUUUAGGGAUCCCAAUUAUAUUAUCCCUACAACUUCAUCUUCAACAUUGGAUGUACAGUAAUGUACAGUAUGCUACAGUAACCCUUACUCAUACCAUCCCGAUUUUGUCCACUAAAAAUUAUGAAAAAAAUUAUACUUUUACUCCAAAAUCAUCACCCAUGUAUUAUUCAACAACCAUUUGCUCAAAUAUGCCCAAAAUCAAAAAAUUCAAAAUUGAAGAAAUUUUUUUAUAAGUGAGCUAAGUUUGAUUCAUCAACAAAUUAGAUCAUGGUUUACAAAGAAAUGCAUAACCAUAUGCUCUGAUACCAAUUGCUGAAAAAAUAUUAGCUUUAUGCCCUUAAUCUUGCAUUUCCAAGUAAACACAUGCAUUUAAUUAAGUUUCAAGAUUUUCCUUCAUUUGCCAUGAAUCUAAGCUUGUAAGUUUGUUAUGAAGCUUUUACAGUAGCCACGAACUAGAUUCAAACCUCUAAAUUUUCUUCUUUUCACCUUAGCUUAAGAUUUGAACUUUUAAAAUUUCGUCUUUCAUCUUAGCUCAAGAUUUGAGUUUUUUUCCUCAAAUUCACUGCACAUAUAUACACGGGAGAGGAAGAGAGAAAGAAAUAGAUUGUGCACUACACUCUUGCCUCAGCUUCUUCAACAGUAAAUUCCUAAUCGGCUGAAAUUCCUUAAAUAUUGUGGUUGAGUAUAGGGACUAACUCGUGUGUUAGUACAAAUUUGUUCAUCCCAUUAUGAGCUAAUAUAACACAAUUAAAGGUUAUAUUUGUUCAUAAUAUACUAUUGUAUAUGGUAUGUCAAAAUCAUACUCAUUAACACAAUAUUUGAUCACUUAAUAAAUGAGUCUAUCAAAAUUGCUCCUUAAUAUUUGACAUCAAUCACGUAUUAAUUCGGUAAAAUAUAGAAAACAAUUAGAAUGAUUUAUGCCGGCCCACAAAAUGUGAUAAAUAAAUCUAACAAUUAAUUCAUCUGGAUGUUGCACUAAACAUUUCUAGAUAUGUAGCCACUUAUGCACUGCCACCCUCGAAUUUUAUAAGCAUUCCCCCAUCAUUUAAUCUCAUUAUAUAACCAAAACUACUAGGGCUAAGCUACAACUUGUUACCAUUUAAAACUAUAGCCAAAAGCACUGAUUUUGACAUACCCUAUACAGUAGUAUAUUGUGAACAAAUAUAAUAUUUAAUUGUGUUAUUUUAGUUCAUAAUGGGAUAGGCAAAUUUAUACUAACAUAUGAGACAGUCUCUACACUCAACCACAAUAUUUAAGUAAUUUAAGCCCAUUGGGAGUUUACUAUUGACCAAGCGGAGGCAAGAGUAUAGUGCACAAUCUCUUUCUUUCUUUCUUUCUUCCUCUCCCGUGUAUGUGUAUGCAGUGAAUUUAAGCAAAAGCUCAAAUCUUGAGCUAAGGUUGAGCUAAGGUGAAAGAAGCAAGAUUCGGAGAUUUGGAUCUAGUUUGUGACUACCUAUAGAAGCUCCAUAACAAGCUUGCAAGCUCAGAUUCAUGGCAAAUCAACGUAAAUAUUAAAAUUUAAUCAAAUGCAUAUGUUUACUUAGAGAUGCAAGAUUAAGGGCAUAAAGCUCAUAUUUUUUUCAUCAAUUGGUAUCACAACAUAUGAUUAUGUCAUUCCUUGUAAACUAUGAUCAAUUUUGUUGAUGAAUAAAACUUAGCUCAGUCAUGAAAUUUUUUCUUUAAUUUCAAAUUUUUUAUUUUGGACAUAUUUGACCAAAAUGUUGUUGAAUAAUACAUGAGUAAUGAUUUUGGGGUAAAAAUACAAAAUUUUCAUAAUUUUUGGUGGCCAAAAUCGAGAUGGUAGGAGUAAGGGUUAUUGUAGCGCACUGUACAUUACUAUAGAUCCAUCCCGUGGUUGAAGAUAAGUUGUAGGGAUAAUAUCAUUUGGAUCCCUAAACUUUAUAACAUUUCAGUAUGGCUCAACAUUUGGAAACUAUUUGCACUUAAAAAUUCAAAUUUGGUUUAAACUUUUACACAUUUUUCAAAAGUGUCCUUGACCUAUGGUCAACGUGACAACAUAUCUUUUUAAUCCUUGAUAUUUUGAUAAAUACUAAUUUUGCCCAAUAACUUAUUAUAUUUUAUUUACAAUUUGGGACAAAAGUUUCGAUAUAAAAAAUAAUAACCAUAAUUAUAAAAAAUCUUCAUUUUAGUCCAAAAUCCUUACAAGUUUUGGCUAUUUUUCAGAAUUCCAAAUUUAAAAUAAUCCAUCAUUACUAGAUAUUAUGGGUCUAGCAUUCAUACAUUUCAUUGAGGCAUAUAAAUAUUUUAUUUGAUUUAAUAUUUUGGUAAAAACUUUAUUUGUAUUUGAUAAAGUUUAUUUAGUCUCAAUUUUGUUAUUUAUAUAUAAAUAAUGCAAAACUACAAUUUAGAGUGAAUGUUUAUAUAUCUAUCGUAUGACUAAUCAUGAUAAAUUAUUUGAUAUUUAUAAUCAAAUGACCAUUUAUAAUUAUUAUUAUGAAUUAUACGAUGGAUUAUUAUUCCUAUUACCGAGAUCCAUACGGAUGUUAUAUAUUGUUCUGUCGGUAAAUCACUACUUGGUAGAAUGCUUGAGUAGAUAAAUAGAUUUGUUGGGUAUUUUCUACUGAGUGACUUAAUUACCCUGUCGGUAAUAGGUCAAUGUUCGUAUUAUAUUCAACUUGUCUACUUUAUCUUUGAGUUAAUGCACUCUUAUAUUAUUAAAGGAUGCAUAACAUAUUAUGUUGCUACUAGAGAAAAUUAGAAUGAGGAGUCAUUGCUUAUAGCAUGAUUUUUUUUUUCGUAUGCUUCAUUUUUUUUUUAUUAUUGAUUCCUCAGCUCUAGAUGUUCUUUCUUUUCUCCAAGUUGCCUCCAUCAAGCUCUAACUCGGAUAAAUUACGAGGACUGGCGUGAGUCCAUUAUAUUUUAUCUGUCUACUUUAAAUAGAGACUUGGCAUUAAGAGUAAAUAAACCAACCAAGCCCACAGAUAAGAGCACUGCUUCUGAAAAAGUAGAGUGGGCAGCUUGGGAUGAAUCUAACAGACAUUGUUUGGACAAUUAGAGAUCAUUGAUAGAAUAAUUAGAGAUAGCAUCCCUACAUGUGACAAGGCCAAAGAUUACUUGGCAGCUGUUGGAAGAACUUUCAAGAAAGUAGAUAAAGCUGAAAAGGGUAAUUAUUUGAGGUUGCUUGCUAAUACUCAGUAUGAUAGUGUUUCUAGGGUGAGAGAGCACAUUUUAAAAAUGACCAAUUACCAUAAGAAACUAAAAGACAUGGAUGUCAAUUUGCCUGAUAACUACUUAGUCUUCCAAUUCUUAAAUCCCUUCCACCAUAGUUUGGCAGUCUAAGAAGCCAAUACAAUACUCAGAUAGGUGCUUGGAAUAUCGAUGAGUUAACUGCUUAUGUGGUUCAAGAAGAGGAAACAUUGAAGAAAGGACAAUCUCAAACUGCGAUGAUGGCUACUACUCAAGAAAGUGGCAGUGUGAAGAAAUGUUAUUCAAAGGAUAUCAAUAAGUUUUUUAAGACUAAGAAGUUUGGAAAGAAAACUUCACGUGACAAUUCUUCUACCACUUUUAGUUCCACUUCUGAAGGCUUUAAGAGAAAGUGUCAUUUCUUUAAGAAACCUAGGCACAAGAAAUCAGAAUGCAAGGGAUUCAAAGCAUGGCUGGAAAAUAAAGGUAUUCAUAUAGUUUUUAUGGGCUUUGAAUCUAAUCUUAUCGAUAUUCCUUCUAAUGCUUGGUGGUUGGUUACUGGUGCGACCAUUGAUAUAACGAAUUCCUUACAGAAAUUCAGAAACAGAAGGAAACUCAAUAAAAGAUAGCUAAUGGUUCACGUGGGCAAGGGAGUAAAAACUAGAGUUGAAAGUAUAUGAGUUGUUAGACUACACUCGCUACAUACCACUUUUUGGAUCUAUUGGAUACAGCUUAUACUCCUUCUAUUAGGAGAAACUUGAUAUAUGUAUCUAUUUUAGAGAAAUGUGGCUAUACUUUUCAUUUUGGUGACAGAAAAUAUUACUUAAUCCGUAAUUCAGAGCUAGUUGGUUCUGACACUAUAUGAUGGCUUAUAUAUGAUUUAUUUAUUUUCUCAUACUACUGAAUCAUCAUCCAAUGCUCAUGUUAUGAAUGUAGUUAGCUCUAAUCAUGCGGGGGUUGAUGAAAACUCCUCUAUGUUGUGGUAUAAACGGUUAUGUCACAUUUCUUAAUAAAGGAUGGAAAGACUUAUUAAAGAUGGCAUCCUCCACAAUCUAGAUUACUCUAAUUUUGACACUUGUAUUGAUUGUGUCAAAGGCAAACUUACUGUCAAAAUCAGAAAAGAUAGAACUCAAAGAAGUCAACAUGUGCUGGACUUGAUACAUACAGACAUUUGUGGGCCACUUACUCAUGCUGCUAUUGGAGGUUAUAGGUACUUCAUCACGUUCAAUGAUUUUUCUCGUUAUGGUCAUAUUGAACUUCUUACUGAAAAGUCUGAAUCUUUAUCUGCGUUUCAAGCAUUUAAGGCUAAUGCUGAGCUCCAAAAGGGCAAGAAAAUUAAAGCAAUAAGAUUAGACAGAGGUGGUAAGUAUUAUGGGCGAUAUGAUGAAACUGUGCGUAAUCCUAAACCUUUUGCAAGAUUUCUUUAGAAAUGUGGAAUAGAAGCUCAGUACACAAUGCCCGGGACUCUUGAACAUAAUGAAAUUGCAAAAAGAAGAAAUCGUACUCUUCUUGACAUAGUGCGAUGUAUGCUAAGCAACUCUACCUUACUAGAUUUUCAAUGGGGUGAAGCCUUAAGAACUCCAGUUUACAUGAAUCAGGUACCUAGUAAAUCAAUGCCCAAAACUCUUUAUGAAUUGUGGUCAAGGAAGAGACCGAGUCUUCGUCAUUUCCAUGUUUGGGGAUGCAGAGCAAAAAUAAUGUCUUAUAAUCCACAAUCAAGGAAACUUGAUCUGAAAACUAUUAGUGGUCAUUUUAUUGGCUAUUAUAUAGGCUCAAAGGGUUCUACAUUUUAUUGCCCUUCCCACACUACUAGAAUCAUUGAGUUUGAUCGUGCCAUUUAUUUUGAGUAUGAUCACAAUAGUGGGAGUUCUGAGCCUUGCAAUCUUACAUUGAGAGAAGAACAUAUAGUUUUGCUUAUUCCACAUUUUCUAACUUCUGCGAUGGGAUUACCACGUACUGAUGUUUCUUCUGUUAAUCAUGAACCUCAUCAUGAUAUGGAGCUUAUAACUGUAGAGGAUGAUGUUACUGAUAUGCAAUUGAGGGAUGAGAAAGGGUCAAGAGAUCUAUAAUUUCUGAUGAUUGUGAGGUUUAUUUGCAGGAACAUGAUUUUGAUACUAACUUGUCAUCUAAUCUUGUUACCUUUCAGAAGGCUAUCGGUUGUUCAAAAUCCUCAUCUUGGAUACGAGCGAUGCAUGAUAAGAUGGCAUCUAUAUACCAUAAUGGGGGUUUGAGAUUUAGUUGAAUUGUCAUAUAGAUGCAGACUAAUUGGUUGCAAAUGGGUUUUCAAAACGAAGAGAAAUGCCAGAGGUCAGGUAGAAAGACAACGAUGUGGCCAAGAGUUUCAGUCAAAGAGAAGGCAUUGAUUAUACAUAAAUCUAUUUUCUCGUUUCUACCAAAGACUCUUUCCGUAUUAUCAUGACAUUGGUAGCUCAUUUCAAUUUAGAACUGCAUCAAAUAGAUGUAAAGACAUUUUUUCUUAAUGGAAGCUUGUCUGAAGACGUGUACAUGCUAAUACCUAAUGGUUUUGUUGAGCGUGGUAAAGAAAACAUGGUGUGUAAGCUUAAAAGGUCUAUUUAUGGACUUAAACAAGCAUCCAGACAAUAAUAUUUGAAAUUUUAUGACAUUGUCAUCUCUUAUGGGUUUCAGGAGAAUGUUGUUGAUCAAUAUAUAUACUUGAGGGUCAGUGGAGCAAAUAUAUUAUUUUAGUGCUAUACGUGGAUGAUAUAUUUCACGUUGUUAAUGACAUUAAUUUUUUACUUGAGACAAAAUAAAUGUUGUCAUGCAAUUUUGAUAUGAAAUAUCUCGGUGAAUCUCAUUAUCUAUUAGGGAUAGAAAUUCUUCGUGACAGAUUUAGAAGAGUUCUAGAAUUGUCUCAAAAGGCCUACAUUGAUCGUAUUUUGAAAAGGUUCAACUUACGGUCUUAUGCUCCUGGAAAAGCAUCAAUUUCAAAAGGUGACAAACUUUCCAAGUCUCAAUGUCCAGAUAAUGAUGUAUACAAAGCUAGAAUGCAAACAGUCUCAUAUGCAUCAGUUGUGGGUAGCUUGAUGUAUGCUCAAAUUUGCACUCGCCCUGAUAUCACCUUUACAAUGGGAGUACUUGGGAGAUACCUAAGCAAUUCUGGAUUUGAACACUAGAAGGCUGUAAAGAAAGUGCUCAGAUAUUUGCAAGCCACCAAAGAUUUUGCUUUGAAAUAUCAACAAUCUGAUUAUUUAAAUAUAGUUGGAUAUUCUAAUGCUGAUUUUGCAAGAUGUUUAGAAGAUAAUAAAUUCACAUUUUGUUACAUCUUCAUUAUGGCAAGAAGAGCUAUAUCAUCAAAAAGUGCAAAGCAGACACUUAUAGCUUCUUCAACAAUGGAGACAGAAUAUGUAGCAUGUUUUAAGGCUACACAUCAAGCUUUAUGGAUGCAGAAUUUUAUCGCAGCGUAUUGUAUUGGUUGUACCAAGACCAUUAAAAAUAUAUUGUCAUAAUUCUGCAGUUGUUUCUUUUUCUCACAAUACAUGGAGUUCCUCACAUUCUAGACACAUUAAUGUUAAAUAUUUAUUUGUGAGAGAGAAAAUUACUCUAUCUUAUGUAUCAGUAGAGUACAUACCUACAAAACUCAUGUUACUUACUAAAACUUUAGCUCCAAAGUGUUUAGGGAGCAUGUGACUCAUAUGCAAUUAUUAGAAUCCACUUAUAUAUGCUUAGUCAGUGAGAGUUUUGAUUUGUAUUAUGAGUUACAACUUAAAUGAGAUUAUGUAUUACUCAUUUUGUUAUUAUGCAUGCAUAUUGUUAUGUGACAUUGAUAUGCCAUAUAUUGUGUACACAUUUAGUUGAGUAUGACAUUAUGUAUACAGUGACGAUAUUGUGGUCCGAGACAUUUUGUUUAGUCUCAAUAUGGACAUUAUGGACUGAAGCAUUAUGGCUUGGCUUCAUAAUACUUUCUUGAGACAUUUUGUUUCAGUCUCAUUAUGGUUAUAAAAAAGCACGGCUUCCUUUAGACAUCUUGGUAUUAGUCUCAUUAUAAUGAAAAGGAAGCUCAUUUUUCGAGAUAUUUUGAUCGAGUCUCCUUAUGGUUGUGAAGAAGCGAUAGUCUAGGAGACAUUUUGUUUUCGUCUCAUUUUGCUAGACAUAUGGACUUUAUGGAAAUGAGUAUGUUGAUCACAUUGUCACGCUAUUUCCAUAAUUAUACUUGUAUACUACUAUAUAGUCACGUGUUUUUAGGUAUCUUGUUGUAUGUAGCAUCUGAUCGGUGCAUAUAUGAUUUUGGUACUUAUGGCACAUUUGGAACUUAUUUAUGUUUUGGGUGAUUGCUAACAUUUGACUUUUUGUUAUAGUCAUAUAUUGAUUAAUUUGGUUGUUUUCAAAAUAUUUAUUUUAUUUUAUUUUAAAACUAUCAUUAGAAUGACUAGCUGUGUUCUAGUUUUAAAUAGUAACAAGCUGGAGCUUAACCCUAGUAGUUUUGUCAUAUAAUGGGAUUAAAUGAUGGGGGAAUGCCUAUAAAAUUCGAGAGUGACAAUGCAAAAGUGGUUACAUAUCUAGAAAUGUUUAGUGCAAUAUCCAAAGGAAUUAACUAUUAGAUUUAUUUCUCACAUUUUAUAAAUUGACAUAAAUCAUUCUAAUUCUUUUCUAUAUUUUAUCAAAUUAAUACGUGACUAAUGUCAAAUAUUAAGGAGUAAUUUUGACAGACUCAUUUAUUAAGUGAUCAAAUAUUAUGUUAAUGAGUCUGAUUUUAAUAUACCCUAUAUAAUAGUAUAUUGUAGAUAAAUAUAAUAUUUAAUUAUAUUAUUUUAACUCAUAAUGAGAUGAACAAAUUUAUAUUAACACAUGAGGCAGUCGCUACACUCAACCAUAAUAUUUAAAUCAUUUUAGCCCAUUGAAAAUUUAUUAUUGAACAAGCUGAGAACAAUAGUAUAGUGCACGAUCUCUUUCUUGUUCCCUUCCUCUCCUGUGUGUGUGCAGGGAAUUUGAGCAAAAAUUCAAAUCUUGGGUUAAGGUGAAACAAGCAAAAUUCAGAUAUUUGAAUCUAGUUCGUGAUAGAAGCUAUAUAAUAAACUUACAAACUCAGAUUCAUGACAAAUUAAACUAAAUCUUAAAAUUUAAUUUAAUGUGUGUGUUUACUUGGAAAUGAAAAUGUAAGAUUAAAGGCAUAAAACUCUUUUUUUUUCUAUCAUCAGUAAAAGCUCCUAUUUUUCAUCCAUCAGAGUGCAAAUACUUACAAAAAGCUCGCGAAUCCGUAUUGGGUAAUGGCUUCGAUUGUUCCAUCUGCAUUAGCAUCGGCUUCCACCACUCCUCCUCCAUCGCAAAUCUGUAAAUCGCAAGUCUUCCGCUUACAAGUCCCUACCAGCUUCACGCUGCAAUGAAAUUACACAAUGAUAAUAUUGAUCGUGUUUUUCGGAAGCCAAUUUAAAUUUUGAAAUAAAGAACGAAUAAAUAAAUUAUAAUUUCUCACCACUAACUUUCGGUUGCCUUACUGGUGAGUCCCUAAAUUACUCAUUAGCCCUACUUUCAGCCAUCAAAUUCACGGCUGAAAUGGAUUGUGAGAGUAAGUAGCUGCCACCUGCUGCAACGGUUAUCAGUGGGGGUGUAAAAUUGUAAAUGACCAAAGAAAUAACGUCAGCCGUUAGAUGAAACAAUCUAAAAUCCAACGGGUUUGCCGAAUUUAUAAAUUCUGUCACUGAAGAGAGUAAAGAGACCCUUGAAACGUUUCAAAAGAAAGCAAAAUGGCAGUGGCGGCAAGAGGACAGGGGUUUGUACUGUCGCGGCCGGUCACGUUCGUAACGGGGAACGCCAAGAAAUUGGAAGAAGUGAAAGCCAUAUUGGGGCAAUCCAUUCCCUUUCAGUCUCUCAAGCUUGACCUGCCGGAAUUGCAAGGGGAGCCUGAAGAUAUCUCCAAAGAGAAGGCUCGUUUGGCUGCCAUUCAAGUUAACGGCCCUGUGCUCGUUGAAGAUACUUGUCUCUGCUUCAAUGCCUUGAAGGGUCUUCCUGGCCCUUACAUGUAAGUUUUUUUUUCCCCCUCCCAAAUUUCAAUGAAAAUAAGUUAUCUUUCAAUUCUUAUUUGUUGACUAAUGAAUUCCUAGUACUUUAUUUUCAAAUGGGUUACAAUUAGAAAUUGGUAAAUUGGUCUUUACACCUAAAGUAUGAAAUCAAUGUCAAAUAUCGGAUCAGUCUCUGGCCUCGCUUAGGGGAACACAAUUUGGUUAGAAUAACACUCCUAACGUAUGAAUGUGUAUUACUUUUUUUAUCCGUAGCUAACACAAUGUAGCAAUGAUAUGUAUGAGAUGAUCGGAGUUAACUGGGCCAAGGUUUUUGGGCAAAUUAUGUGUAGUAUGAGCUAAUGAGUGUUAGUUUACUCCCAUUAUAUGCUUCAUUUCUAUAUCAUAGUCAGAAUGAGUUCUUGCUAGGAAAGUUCAAAGGUUAUUUUUUUUGGCCACUUUGAAGACUGAUAGAGAGGAAAGAUUCUAUGGAUCGGUUGGUUUUAGUAUUGUCAUCCCAAAGUCAGUAGUGGUCAGGUUUCGUAGGUAUGAUACCUGUGAAUUAUACUCUAAUUGCUUAAUGGAUCCAUAGAUACCCACAGAUUCAAUGCUAUUUACCAUGGCUUCUCGUUAUAGUAAGCGUUGCAAUAUUUAGGAGAUUUUUAUGUGCUUGCAGAGUGCCUGAGUGGCAUCCUUGAACCGAAUUUUCUAUUCUUUCUUAUGCUGAAUGGCUUGUCCUCAUCCUUAGCUAUUGUUUCCUUGUCUUUUAUUUGAAGGUGCUCCAAGUACCUAUCUUGGCUUGCUGAUAAUAAAGUUUGAAUCCCUCCUCUGUAGGAUAAAUUUUUGUAGAAAAGGUUUUGGGUGGGGGGGGGAAGGAGAAGAAAGUUAGGAACACGUUUAUUUUGAAAUUUCUUUUAUUACUUGGAAAUCACAAUCAUGAGAACCUUCGGAGAUAAAUUGAGUCACAUGGUCUAAAUGCAUUGGUAAAACGGUUGUUGAAGUUGUAAUUUUGAUUUCAUUUUGAACUCGUUAACUUCCAUUGUCUUGGGCUUGAAGCAUGGAAGAGGGUUGCCGUGUUUCAACAGUUGAAAUGAGGAGUGCUAAUUUCCUUAGUUGUGUGAUUGUUCAUCUUUGAAGACGAAGUUGAUUGGGAACUGUGCCAAAUUGUUGAUUUGGUGUUAGUAAUGGCUGGAUCAAGCAGUGUGAGCUUAUACUUGGUUGCGUGACCUCUGUCGAUCAAAUAUCAGUUUUCUUGGGUUUUCAGCAAUGCCACUGAGGACAGGGCUGGGUGGAGCCCUAUGCCUUCAGUGACCCUGGCCCCCCACCAAAAAAAGAAAAACAUUUGCUCCUUGGUUAAAGCUGUUAAAGAUAUGGCCCCUAGGUAUUAUAUUUUUGACGCUAUAACUCUACAUUCUUGUGUAUGGGGCCAAUAUAGAAAACUUGCUCCGCCAGUGGCUGAGGGAACCAUUUUCCUAGCCAAAGAGUUGCUAAAAACUUCAAUAAAUGACUUUCAAUUUAGAAUCUUUGUUUUUGUGAUUUUAUUGUUUAUCUGUCGUUUAUCUUUGUUUCAUUUGACAUCUUGUAGCAUUGCAUGAUUAUUUUAUUUCUUUGUGCUCAAAAAUGUUUUUCUGUAUAGCAUACUGUAGUUCAGAAAACCUUAAAAGAAGGAAUAAAGAAAUCUCUUAAAUAUUCUUUUAUUUGCUGUGGAAUUUUGCGCUUGUUUCCAUAUCUUUCUUAUGUGUUAGAAACUUAAUGCUUUUUCUUGGUAUGUCAAAGUUUGUCAUUGUUGUUUGAACAGUUCUUAAGUUAUGUUCAGAAAUUUCACAAUUUCCCUAACUUAAGUUUAUUCAUGGUAAAUAGUGUAAAACUUAAUAGUUUGAGUAAAUAGUAGAUUACAUUUCAUGGCUUCAAAAAUCUCAAAAAGCGGUAAGUGGUUGAGAGUAAAUAUAAAUGUAUUAGAUAUGGUGAUCUAUUCUUGGACAUAAUCUCAACUGUUCUUAUCUUUGCUGUUUAAUUAUAUAUGGUACUUGAAUUAGUAUGAGGUGGAGAAAUUGCUUAAAAGUUGUCUUUGUUACACCUCUCUGCCAUUGGUCUUAUGGUUUCCUGACGUUUGCUGUGUGCACAGAUAUGUUUGAUUCCAUUGUGCAUUGGCAUACAAUAGUUUACUUCUAUUCCCAAGCAUAUUGCUGAAUUACAUGCCUUACUAUUUGGGACAGAAAUGAGAGCAAAACAAUACAAUUUCUUUACCUAUACUCUUGCCUUAGUGUAUUGUCCAGAGCCAAAUAUAUACCCCAUUAUUAGUUCCACCAAAUGAUUGAAAAUAUAUAUAUGAAGCUAGAGGUGUACAGCAGUUGUUUGGUAAUCUUCUUUACUGAAUUAAAUACUAUUCACCCGCAAAUAAAUGCAUUGCAUCUUCGUUACAGGGGAAAUAUUAACUUUGAGCCAGUUACAAGCUUCCUGCUUGGAUUUGCUUAUACUCCAACUCUGUCCUUUGAGGAUUAUUGAACAGUUCAUUUUUGUAAAUAACUUAUCUAAUCUCUUUUUUAUGAAAUUAUUUAGGAGCUUCUUUAUACGUAUAAUUUUCUGAUUUCUAGUCUAAUAAAUAUCUUUCUAUUAUGUUUCAAAAAUUAUAAUAAACAAAACUGAAAUCUACAGUUACUACUAAAUUUUUGUUAAUUUUCAUGCCAAGGAUUUUGUGCUGAGGGACGAGCUUUUAUAUUUUAUUUAUGGCUUUUAUAGAUGGGUUUGAUUAAAUUUCUUAUCUUUGGAAACAGGAUGCUGUGCUUUCUUCAGGCCUUCUUUUUUAAGAAGACAAUGUAGCAUGAUCUCUGAUUAUUGUUUAAUGUGAUUUUCUAAUCUUGCAGCAAGUGGUUCCUGCAGAAGAUUGGUCAUGAAGGUUGUGACUUACAUUUCUACUUCUUUCAUUUUUGUCUCUGUAACCUUCUGUUAAUUUGUCACUAUCUGUAGCUGAUUUUGGUACUCUUUCUUCUUUAUUUUUUUCAUUUUGGUUUCUUUCCUUUUUUUGGUAGGUCUGAACAAUUUGUUGAUGGCAUAUGAGGAUAAAUCUGCUUAUGCGUUGUGUGGAUUUGCUUUUGCUCUUGGGCCCAACAUUGAGCCCAUUACUUUCUUAGGGAAAACUCCGGUAUGUCUAAUGAGUUUUCUUUGAUAUUUUCAACAUUUUUACAUACAUUAUAUAGAGGACACAUUUUAAAAAAUGUUUUAAAAUAUUGAAUGUUGCUUAGAAUAUUUCAUAACGUUCAUUGGUGUUUCUCUUUCUCUUGCAAAUGCUUUUCAAUCCACAAUUCACUACUUAAGUAGUAAAAACAAGUUGAUGGUACUCUUUUUUUUCUUUUUAAUAAAAAAUAGUUGUAAAGACUCUUUUGUCAUUACUCAUGCCUGAUUUUUGCUUUAACAUUAUUUGCUCUCUAGACUGCCUGAUGUUAAAAGUAGCAUCUCUAACUUAUGGGUUUGUGGCUGAUAUUUUCAGGGUAAGAUAGUUCCUGCUAGGGGUCCCAAUGAUUUUGGAUGGGAUCCAAUCUUUCAACCCGAUGGUUAUGACCAAACGUAAGCCCAUUCUUUCACUUAAAUUUCUGCUGUUCGUGUGAUCGUGUCAGCUGUCCAUUACCAUAUUGCUGAUUGUAAUUUGUUUGCUAGUAGCCCAUAAUUGUUCAGCCAAGUUGUAGAUGAAUUUAUGCUUUUGUUUUUCCAUUUUCUCUUUUAAGUUAUGCGGAGAUGGCAAAGGAAGAAAAGAACAAAAUUUCUCAUCGUUCCAAGGCUCUUGCUAUGGUGAAAUCCCACUUUGCUGAAGCUGGAUAUACUUUUCAGAUGGACACAUCCACAUGAAUGAACUGUAUAGGUUAGACAGUCAAAUGCUUUAUCUCUAUUUGUGUCUUCUGGUGGAAGGGAUAAAGCAAAGCCUGCAGAUUAUUUAUCCAUCCUGGCUUGCGUAGGACAAUCCAUGGGUAACUUUUCCUUACAUAUGUGAUUGUCUAGUGAAACAAAUGAGCUUGCAACUUUCGGUUAAUUUGUUCUGCGGUUGAACUUUAACGUCAGUCAUCAUUUUGAACGAAAUGCUCUGUAUAAAUAGAGCAAGAAGCUGUUCCGGUCACAAAUGGUUAAUAGAAUAGAAAGGAAAUAGCGAUCAUCACUCAUUGAACCCAUAUCUCUUUGUGCUUAGAAUCUUGUUCACAGUUUUCUAUAUGAAGUUUAUAUCAGCCAUUUUUUGUCUGAAUACAACGAAAUAGAUCCAAGAGUUUCAAGUUACGAAUCCUCUAGUUAAUGAUUUUAACUUUAUUGUUUGCAUAAUUGCUUCCUCUCAUGCAAUUUUAGAUGGUAUUAUUACCACUCUGUUUUAAAUGAUGCUAGAUAGAUAGUCUUGUAGCUCCAAAAAUGAGGGUAGUGGGGACAAAAUCCCGAGUUUGGGGCUGCAUACUGAGUGAGACAAAUCAACCUACCAGCAAUAAUGGAUUAAAAGAAGAGAUAAUUAAGCAUAAAUUGUUAUGUAAAGUAGAAACAAUUCUGAGACACGCCAUGGCAUUUGGGGUUCUACUCCAAUGACUAAAAUUUUUACUCAACGCUGCUUUUACGGCUCUCAAUAAUGUUGUAUUGUUGUUGUUCAAGGCUUGUUUUGUAAUUAAACUUCAGUAACCGUUGCAAAAAGCAUUAACAUGGGUCAUAAAUAAUGUUGCAGGGAUCCGACUUUACUAUUUUUAAUUCAACUGUGAAGUUCCCAAAAAGUGCAUGCCUGCCCAAAAUUGUGAGAAUUUAGCUUCGUUUUUACAGUUACAGGUAUAACAACAAAAUGAGUUGGAUGUAGGGCUUCUUUUAUCAGAAACAGAUAACAGUUGAUAAUUUAUUCGGGUAUCAUGACAGGACCACAUGUAAUCUGAAUCCGAAAUGGGUGUUAUUUCCAGUACUUUGUUGUUGGCUCAUACCGUACUACUUGAAUUAAUGACUAUGCAAGAUUCACAAGUCCGGUACCAAAUUGUUCAACCAAAAUACCUCACUUAUUUAUUAUGAAACUGCGCUGGUUGGAAAAUCACAUCGCAGUUUCAAGUAAUUAGUGGGGCAAGCUCAGUGCUUACAACGGUUGUAUUGCAGACAAGCACCAUUAAUUAAGAUCUUUUGUCAAGACAUAAACCCCAAAAUUAUACAUUUGAGCAAGAGGAGUUUAAAAUUGAGGAUGGACAUAACAACAUGUGGAAAACAAUAUUGUGCAGAAGUAGAAGCAAGAAGUUGGAAGGGAAUGCCAAAAUCAUCUGCAAAUGCUUAAUGCAAAAGUGGUGGGUGGAGACGGCCUCAUGGUCCCAUGUAUUUUUUUUUCAAGCAAAGAGCUUCUCUCACCACAUGCCAUAUGGGCCCUACAAACACAUGCAUUGCCAUGUGAAAUAACACAUGCAUCACCUUCCACAUGAAUUUAGGGCUCAUUAGUCAUGCAUCACCUUCCACAUCAAUUUAAGGCUCAUUAGUCAUGCAUCACCUUCCACAUGAAUUUAGGGCUCAUUAGUCAUGCAUCACCUUCCACAUGAAUUUAGGGCUCAUUAGUCAUUACUACUUCUAGUUGGAUCAUAUCAUCCAGUUCAUCAUCAACCACCUCAGCAUAACAACAAGCUCAAUCUGAUUGUUAAAAGUGUGUAGCUGUGCCUGUGCAGGACAUGCUUGUUAUUUAAUUCCUUCAGAGUAUCACUGUUCAAUUAUUCUUUACACACUUAGGGGGUGAAAAAGAUCUAAUAAUUGUAGCUGGAAAAUUUUGGAUCAAAGCUCAUCAUUGAUUAUGCCACUGUUUUGAUUUAGAAUGUUAAGAUAAUUUGUAAUGGAAACUAAAGUGAUUUUGCAAAGCUUUAAAGAACUUUUCUGUGGAUAGCAUCAUUUUGGUAGGACCAAAAAAAGCUUAAAAGAAAAAGCUCAUCAUGUUAAGUUAGUUAAUAACUUUAUGUGCAUGUGAGUGUGCAGGUUAUGCACAUGAAAGAAUCACAACUGCUGGUAAGUAAAAGAACACAAAUAAUGGUAACACUAACACACUUAUGUCAUAAAGGUAAUAGCAAUUCCACAAACAAAAGUAAAAGAUUGCUUCCAUUUGAAAGAAAAAGCUACAAAAAGAAAAGGUAAAGAAACAUCACUGGUAUUGCUAUGCAUCAUUUGUAACAAAGUUCCUUUUUUAAUAAUCCAAGUUUUUGCAUUCAAAUACUGUUGACUAUAUGACUAGACACAACAAAGGAGCGGGGAGAAAAAAGCACAAAAUCAUUCCGACCCUAUAAACCCAAAAGCCAAAAAUGAAAAAGAGAGUAUGUAGAGAGACCAAGAUUGACAGUUGACACAGUUGACAGCUGACUGACACUGGACACAAAUAGGCAAGUGCUAGUUAGAAGGAAAUGAGAAUUGAGGCUGAAAAAAGAGGCCAAAGAGGGAAAAUAAAAUGAACAACGCUUCCGCACCUGCUUCUGGGAAUGCAAAUGUUUGUUUUUUCAGUUGAAGCAGGCCGAGGUUGAGCAAGUAACUGAUAAACAAACUGGGUGAGGCAAUACAAUGACAUGUGCAAUAAUGUACACUUGUCAAAAUAUGUGAAGCAGAUAUACGGUAGAGAUUGAAACAAUGACCAGAUUGUGGAUAAAUUGGAUAGGUGAUAUACUAUAUAGAAGAAAAAUGAAAAACAAAACAGAAAUUCGAUGGCCAUUUCUUUUUUCGGCCAAUUUAAUGAUGAAUACUAUGAGCACUGACGGCUCUUGCGGCAAGUAAGAGCACCAGCACCAGAAGUAAUGGAUCCAACCAUGGAGGAAGACUUGGCUCCCAAGCUUGAAGCACGAGCAUAGCUAGCUGAGGCUCCUGCUCCGGAUGGGGUAAAGUAGGCACCGUUCAGCAAGAGGUCUCCUUCAGAUCUCCAGUUCCAGCCCUUCCACUGGCUUGCAGCUGUGUCCACCCUCUUUGUUACCUGUGAAUGCAAAUCCAGUUGUGAGAAUAAGCAAAUUGAACAUUGCAGAUAGUCUUAUUGUAUAGACAAAAGACAAUAUGUGAGAUGUGAGAGUUGAGACCUCCUUUGCGAAGGCAUUCAAUGGAGCAUUGUAUCUGUUUCCCUGGCUGUUGAUGGUGGGGUUUGCACUUCCACCAAUGGCAUACAUUUCCCAGUGAGUGUAGUCAUUGUUCACCACAUGGAAAUAACCAUGUCUACACCUGAAUUAUUCAUCAUUAAAUUCCUCGUUAGCUCCAGUCAAACUUGAUUUCAAAUAGUGCGAAAGUUAACAUGGAGUAAGGUCUCCAUUCAUCUCCCAACACAUUUCAUGAGCUUGAGUUCAACAAUACCUUGGCAUUCUCUGAAUGAGUCCCUCUCCAAAAUGGUUGUAAGCAAUGGUUACUUGCAUUUGCUUGUCCCUGGUGUAGGAAUCACUGUGACCCAGCAGCAUAACCUGCAUUUAAUCACCACCAUUAAACAAAAUGACUUGGCAUUUUUGCUUAUUAAGAAAACAAGUUAGAGUAAACUGGACUACUGGAAUAUGCUGUAAAGACAGACCUCAUUGUGGUGGGUCAUGUGAUUGUUUGAAAUGGUAAUGGCAGUAGAUCCCAUGACGGCAUCAACAAGUCCAUCAGCACAAUGGGAGAGUGAAUUGUGAUCAAUCCAUAUAUGGCUAGAGCCAAAAAUUGAUAUGGCAUCACCAUCAGCCACUGUCCUCCACCCAUAGUGAGUCGGUGAGCUCCUAACCAUGGCAUUACCAGUGGGUUUACAGUCAUGAACGUGAAGACCGUGAAUGAUCACAUUGGUCACAAAUUGGAUAGUGAUGCAACCUCCAUUAGCAAUGUGCACAUUCGCCCCACGACCAUCAAUGGUCUUGAAGCUAUUGACAAUCAGUUCCUGUUUCAAUUGAAUCACCAUGUCCCUCUUGAAAACAAUCCAGAGAGGCUUAUCCUGGAUAACAGCAUGGCGUAAAGUUCCAGGUUUGGGGUUAACAGGGUCAUCAUCCCUUGGGUCAGUGACAACAUAGAAGCGACCAUCACGGCCACCAAUGGCAUUUCUUCCAAAACCAAUCCCACAGUCUGCAAGACGCUUGCGGUUCUUGUGCCAGUUGCCGUCACAGCGCCAGCAGUCAUCAAUGGGAUUACCAGUACCACAGGAGAAGUACCCCAACUUUCUCCUUUCAGUGCUGUUGCGGGUGCUCCUGAAAUAACAUUAAAUUUAUUGUUAUUAACAUGAAAAAUGCUCUGAAUUAUUAGAAUACAAUUGCAUCUUAAUUUCUCAAGUCCAAUGUCAAAAUCGUUAGCAAGGUAAUUGCAUCAUACUGUUAUUUUUACAGUUCACUAUCUUGUAAAGAAAAAGAUUCUAUGUGUCGGUGGCAGUGAUUAUUCCCAUUACCCGCAUCUCCUGUGCUCCAUCAGCCAAAACCAAUGAGGGUACAGAUAGCACGUAAAGACAAAAGAAGGAUGCUUUUUGGUCAAUUUGUGAGAACGAUCAGUAACGGAUAGAAUUGAAUCUCUCUGUAGUGCAGGAAACAAAAAAGCGUAUUCGUACGCUGUCUUUGUCAUUUAGCCCACAUACACAUGGCUGAACGCCAGAACCCAUCACAUGCAAUCUCAAAACAGAAAUUUUCAUAACCCAAAAAAUAACCCCUUUUGCCAUUCAAAUAAAGUUCAUGAUUCAGUUGAUAUUAAACGGCAAAUCAACUAUUAAAACAGAAACAAAAGAAGUCAUACAUGGACAUCUAUUUAAAAAAGGAAAAAAAAAAAAAAGGAUUGUACGUUUUAAUUAGUAGUAGUAGGUGAAAGAGACGCAAGAAUUUAUGUCCGUUGAACACGGAUCUGUCAAUAGCGUGUAAAAAGCAGAGCAAGAACGUGAAGGGUGAUAUACACUGAUACUGAUACUGAUACUGUUAUGAUAUCGGUUUCUUAAGCCUUCAAAAAGGGAUAAUUUUCACAAAACGACAAGGUUAAAACAGAGAAAAUAACCAAUAGUUUCAAGCGUGUUCAAACUCUAUCCCCGAAAUAGUAACUGGGUUUUUAAUACAAAUAGGCGCGUUCGGUAAUAUUAAUUACUUAUAAGGACCACAACGCGACCAGAAUAACCCCCUCCACCUACUAGUGCCCCCAUUUUUCCUUUUAUUGGUAGUGAAUUUAGUGAGAUUCUUCAGGUACUUUAACAAGAAUUGCAAAUUAAGUGAAAUUAG
RNAcentral lists this long non-coding RNA (54253 nucleotides) under Citrus maxima (pomelo). RNAcentral's name for it is "long non-coding RNA (CMAX_LNC003720)". Lineage: Eukaryota; Viridiplantae; Streptophyta; Magnoliopsida; Sapindales; Rutaceae. The record is from RNAcentral.